UUUUUUUUUUUUUUUUUUAAGUGGCUUGUUUGUGUUGUCAUCCUGCACUUGGUUUUGUGAAUUGGAUUUUGACUUUGCUGGCUUGUUCAAACUUCCAAGUUUCUUAAACACAAGUACCUCCCGGAAUAGAGAAAAUACCAAAUUGAGGCCGGCUUCUACUUUGUGUAUUAUCCGCAAUCAGGUUUGGUUAGGCAGAGCCAAAGAAGAAGUAAGAUUUACAGCAACUAGUAGGCGUUGUUCUGAAGCCGCGGAUUAAAACGCAUACACAGAGUCAUGCCAGUAAAGAGAGAGCAUUGGCAAUCAAAUAUCAGAGGGUGAAUUACACACAAUCCCCUUGUAGUUUUGAAUAAUACCACAUUUCAAAAUAAGAAGAUUUACUUGUAUUGGCCGUCAAAGUCUUAGAGGCAUAGAAAAGUAGAAAUGCAUUCCUUGUUACAUAUCCUGAGCUAGCAAUGAAUAGGAUUUGAAGCCAAGAGACAAGUUCACAUAGAAGUAAUUUUACAAAUAGAUGCUAUGUAAAAUAUCAGUUUGAUGAACUAAGGUUGACCUUGUAUGUUCCCAUUUAAUUCUUGAUCCUGUUCAAUUGAUUUCCAUAAUUUCAUCUCUCCAACGUUCCCAUCCACCAAGUGGGAUCCUCUCUUGAAUAGAAAUUGGUGCCUCAAUUCAUCUGAUUUAACAUAAAUAGAAGGGCUCAAGCUGACUGAUUCUUGUGCUCCGAGUCCUGUCUGAGAUUUACAGAUACAAAGAGCAAUGGAAAAAGUAUCAUUGGGCACAACUUGUAGUCGACUGCAGAACAGUGAGAAAAAAUAUGUUGCCUGUUAUAGAGCUAAGAUACAACUUCAAGAAGGAUGCAAGCACCUAUCAGGGUUCAGCUAAUCCACAUCUUUCUGCUGCUUUGAACUACAAGCAGUAUGGAAGAUAUGGCAAAUUGAGUUCCAAAAGAAGUAAAAUAGCACCUCAUUAACAUGUCUACAAAUUGCUGAAUUGGUUGGACAGUUCAACAGCACCAGACAGACAGGGAAGAUCUCAGGCUUUGGGCAUCCGAGGCAGAGAGCAAAAGGGAAUUCCAUGCCGGAUGUUUUCAUCUGAUCUGACUGAAUCAGGAUCUGGUUCAACAAGGGAUCACAGGACUUCAUUACAAAUGAUAGUAAGAGCGAGCUAUCAAGGUUAAUGUUGAUCUUCGAGUGUAAAAUCACUGCAAAACACAAAAACUCAAACUUAAGAAACUCAAGACAGCAUGUAGUCAAGAAUAAAGCCAGCACAUAGUUGCAUGACAUUUUUGUUGUAUUUGAAACACUAAAAUAAGAACUUACCAUGAAGAGAUGAGCAAUAUCAACAAGUAUAGGUUGUAGAAUGAGCUUCAUAGCCAUCAUCACAGCGGAUGAAAUAAUUGCAGCCAACAAGCAUGCUUGGCAGUCUCGACUAACCACAGCGAUAUGCUUCGAAACUGGCAGCUUAGACUUGAUUGUGUUAGAAGAUGCUCUGAAAAAACAUCUUCCAUGGCUGCUCCAAAAAACAUCUUCCAUUACGAGAAGAUUUCUCAAGUUUUAGUUGUAAUAUAUUCAGAAUCAAAGUAUUUAAAAGUCAAAAUUGCGUAGUAAAAGAAGAGUAGUAUAUCUGAACUUACUGGACUCUUAGAACCAAAAACCAAUUUGAUGACCAACACUCUGGAAACUCCUGAAAUCUUUCAGGCUAGAAAAUCACAACCAACGAAAAGUGAGACAGAAACCCAUCAUUUACAAGACUUAUCGAACAAAUCACUAAUCAAAUGGUUCAAGAAGCUUGAUAAAUGCGCCCUCAAGGGGCCAUUAAACUUUGGAGCCACUAUUUACUCCCUCUAGAAUCAUAAGCUAGGGAGCUGAUCACUUUAGCAAUCACAUCUUACAUCCACAAAAGCAGAUAUAUAAAAUCAACAAAACAAAACUCCUAGUCACUUCAAAACAGAAAACUGGAAAUUGCAUGACAUUCUUGUUUGGUCAAUUAUUCAGAAAGCUAAAUCAAUAUUUGUUCUUGUUGUUCUUUUCUAACCUAAAUCAGCAAGAAGAUAUCAAAUCUUUCUGGUCAGUCUACAAGUACCAGAAGUAUCAUAGAAACUAUAUUAGUUUUUGUUCAAAACACUGAAAAAGGAGGAGUUCUAUAACAAUAAUGACAAUGAGUGGCAACACAAGCAUGAAAGGAAGAGAGCCUCAGAAUUGCCAUGAAGGCGAUCUCUUUGAGACUGCAAGAUGCAACAGGCAGAGCUAAUUACAACUAUUUUACUUAAAUCUCAUAUGACAACUUCAGUAGAGGAUAGUCUACCAACUCUCUACCGCUUGAAAAACAUCUUAACAUCUUAACCCAACAUUAAGUAAUGGAAGAAGAUUGUUGGUAUUAUAAAUUAUCAGACCACCAAUUUCACAACCAAAGGCAGUGAGAGUAACUCGAUUGACCAUUGGAUUUAGGUCAAGAGAUCAUAGCUAAAGAAAGAUGAUAAAUAUAUUGGAGCAAUUAUGUCGAAUCCCAUCAUUUAAGAGACAUAAUAAGAAUACCAAUUAUCAGAUAAUUUCGAGCAAGAUGAUAAAUAUAUUUAAAAGAGAUCAGAGCAAGCAUUUCCAUCCCGGUAGACUCUCAAGUUUAAAGAGAAAUAGCAGUCAUGAUGGAAAUACAAAAGUAAACUGGAAGUAGCAGACAUAUGAGAUGAGCAAAAGUAAACUGCUAGUUUUUAUUUUAAAAAAAGAAUUUUGCACCGUAGAUGUAAAUACAAAAAGUUUUUCAGCUUUGGCAUCGUGUUAAACUGUCCACACUCCACAUCAAAUAACUUGCUCUUGAACAUCUGUUGAGCUUUUAGCUUUGACAAACUAAAUUUCUAAAAUUGCAAUUUACUUCGAUAAUUCACAGCUUAUAAGGUAGUACAAUUAAUGAUUGAGAUGUCUAUUUGCAACCUGCAAUCAACUUGCAAAAUGAUAAUUCUUCAGUCCUUACUGUUACAUUACUAGACAACAUCUUGGAAACAGACGUUUUAAAACUUCAGAUAUUUUGCAACAAAAUCAUCUUACCAUACAAUAUUUAUCACCUGAUAUUGGAUAGAUUUAAAAGAAUUUAGUAAUGAUUUUACUGGAGUAUGUUGUCCUGAAGAAACAAAAAAUUAGAAAUUGACUCCUAAAAUCUUUGUCCAUCAUUGCCUCUCUAUAAUUUUCUGUUCCAUCAAACUUUGAUUUUGACAAUCUAUUUCAUGAAUGUAAACGCAUUAUCAUUCUUUUCUAGCAAAUUGAUAACCAAAUGAACUUUUAGAGUACUUAGUUGGCCGAGGAGCUUUUAGAUUGAAAAUCUCAGGAAGGCAUGUUUGCCUGCAUUCCAAUAAAGAUAGAAGAGCAAAUUUCAUGUCAUUUUUGAGCUAGGAAUCUUACAGAGAGAAAGGGUUUCUUUUUGUUGCCUUUGAUCUAAAACUAAUGAGCAGGAAAAAGGCUUGAUACUAAGUACAUCUACUAAUCCAUUUAAAACAAAUUCCCUAACGUUACAGUACUUCUUGAAAAUUUGGAAGCUUCUCAUUGUCAAUCUGUUUCUCUAAUACAAGCUCUACCGCCAACCAAACCCCCAUGCUCAUCAGCAGAAAUUCACGGUAAUGAUGGCUCUUGAUCUUGAAAGACAUUACAUAAGUUGGGGAAAGAAAUUCAGGUGAGCAGUUUGUAGAGGCCAGCUGACAAAGAUAGAGCAUUUUAUCAGGUUUUAGGCACUAGGAAGAAAGAAAAGUGUGCCUGUAGCGUCCCAUCCUAAUCAUUUCUGUCCAAUUGAAACAGGAUUUGAUUCAACAAAGUUUUCAAAAGUUACAAGCUGUGUAAUUCAAUCAGUAAGUAAGUGCAAUUGUAGAUUUCUGUUGACAUUUAAGCCUGAGAUCAUUGCAGAGCAGAAAACUCGAGCUGAGACAAUAAGUGAACAAGAAAGCUAAUCAGAAAGUUCAGAAAAUUCGACAAUAGUUUUGUUCUGUCAUUCUUACAGAAGGCUAAAAUAUGUCUUGUUUGUUAUGAAACUAAAUGGAUAAACAAGUACUGAGUCGUGUUUACAAUUACAGUGGUUUGGUUCCAACCACAAAGCAAGUAAGCACAAUCAUAAGCUUGAAAAUAAUGAUAGGCAAUUUGCAUUUUACAUUGAGGCAUUGAGGAACAGUAGAGCUAUGGGCCGCUGAGGAACGUAGAGCUAUGGGGAUUCACAUUUAACUGCUACCAAAACACCAGUUAAUUCUAACUUCUAACUGUGAGCAGUAUGCCACAGAUGACAAUUUGAACCCUAAAACAUGUACAUCAGCCCCUCAUUAUCAUGACUAAAUAUCACUGAAUCGUUUGGACAGUUUAAAAGAACCUACCCCAAUGGAUAUCUUAGACUUUGGCCAUCUGAGGCACAGAGCGAAAGCGAAUGCCAUCCUAGAUGUCACUAUUCAACUGAAGCAGGAUCUUGUUCAGCAAAGAAUUGCAGGACUUUCAAAAAGUAAAGACAGUAAGAGCCAUCGAUUAGGUUCCCUGUUAAGCUUUGUGCUAAAAUCACAGCAAAGCACAAAAACUCAAACUUAAGACGACUUUCAGGACAGAAUAAAGCUAAUGGAAAUUUUCAGAUAAUUGCAGGUUUUCUAUCAUUGUAACUGAAGCCCCAGAAGGCAAAACUUACCAUAAAAAAAAAGAAGCAACCAACAAUCAUAAAAGCAGAGAGAGCUUAAGAGGCUUUAUCAAGGUGGAUUCAUUAAGAGCUGAAAGUCGCAACAAACAGACUUGACCAACUACUGGAAUGCUUCAAAAUAUUCCACUUAGACAAGAAUGUUGGAAGAUACUCCACCAAGUUUUGUGCAAGAUUUCUUUUGUUUUAUAUGUGAUAUAUUACAUAUUAAAGUGGUUAAAAGUCAAAAUGGAGUAGUGAAAGAAGAGAAGCAUAUCUAAAAUUACCAGAAUUUUUGAACCAAAACAUGAAUUCUUCAUGGCUCAAAAGUCAAAAUGAAGGAAAAGUGAGUCAGACAACCGUCAUAUAUGACUCUGAUAGAGCAAUUACUAAUCAAAUAGUUCAGAUAAGUUUGCAAGUUCAUUAUCAAGAUGUCAAAGUUCAGAGAAACCAUUUCAUCCCCUCAGAAUCACAAUUUUAAAUAGAGUGAGCUGACUUUAGCAAUAAUAAAUUAAAAUCCAUAGAAACAGACAUUUAAAAUAAACAAAACUAGACUGCUAGUUGUUUUAAACAUUAAUAGGAUAUUUGUAGGAAAUGCAGGCCAAAAGUUAUUGAGUUCCAGCCAUAUAGAUGUUACUGAAGAAGCUUCAAAAUUCUAACCUCUGUUUGUCUAAGCAAGAGACCACAAAAAUCAGCUUGGAAAGUUUUGAAGAAAGGAGUGUCAUCAGCAUUGCUGAUCUAAAGACAUAUAGAAAAUGUUUCACAAAUUUUCUGCAGAUGCUAUGAAUAUAAAAUGCAAAUGCAUUUUCCACGGACAAAAGUGCAGAGAACUCAUUUCAUCCUGAUGCAAAUCGUGAGUUUAAAGCUGAGAGCUAAUCUUAGAAAUAAUCUUUUACAUUGUUACUUGAUUAGUUAAUUUGUUUCACUUCUCUUUUAUGCAGAACUUGCUUUGGUCACCAAGAAAAUCUUGUGCCUUUGGUUAUUCAUACACAGACAAGAUAUUAAGUCAAGCUUCCAUUGAAGACAUGUAACCAUCACCUAUUUAUGGUAAUGUUUAUGGAGUACCUAUAACUUUCAAUCAAGAUACAGAAACCUAAGAAAGACGCCAGACAAAAUUGAAAAGAACAACUUCAUGCAAUUCUUCGUUUUUGGUCAAGCGACUACCAACAUAAGAUUUACUCAACAUCAUAUAGACCAGUAAUUUUGGAAUAACUAUGAAUCUUAAAGUAAGAGCAUCAUUCUAGACUUACGAUUUUUAACUGAAAAAGAGAACAGGCAAGCUCAUAAAAUCAUGUUGUAUCUAAUGGAGCUAAGAUACAACUUCAAGAAGGGUGGUGAGUAGCUUGCAAAGGCCAACUAACAGACAAUAAGCAGUCAUAAAGACAGACUGACAAUUUUCCGCAACUAAAUUGCAGCUAAUUUGAGAGGCAAGCAGUAUGAGACAGAAUAGCAAAUGAGGUCCAUAAUUGAUGAAUUACUACCUCAUGUCAUGGCCAACAGGUUGAAGGCAUCACAUUCACACCGUAGAUCUCAGGCUUUGGCCAUCUCAGUCACUUAGGAGCGAAAGAGAGUGUCAUUCUAUAUGUUUGUCUCCAAUUUGAAAAUGAUGUGGUUGAAGAAGGAAUAAUGGAUAUUGAUACGUAUGGCAGUAAUUAAGCCAUUGAGGUCUCCCGUGAGCUGUGAGCAUAACACCACUGCAAAAUAGAAUACUCAAAACUCAAGACAGUGUAUAGAAAAUCAUAAAGCUAACUAGAAAAUUCGGGUAAUUGCAGGACAUUUCUGUUCAACAAAUCUUGCAGAAAGCUUAAGAAAAAGAGAUAUUGUCAUUGAUUUCAAACCUAAAUAGCAGAUACAAAAUCUUUCUGCUCAGUCUCAGGUACCAAAUUCUUAUUGCUAGACCUCGUGACUGAAAUGGCAGACUGACAGUGUGCAAGCUUCGACAAUAAGGAUAUUUGGCUAUUUGAGGCAGCAAUAUGAAAGAAAAGAGGGCCAUCAUAAACAUUUCUGUCCAAGAUACUGGGUUUGCAAUUGAAUGAGCAAUUACUGCUAGUUGUUCUAAACGUUGAUAGGUCAUUUGUAGGAAAUGCAGGCCAAAAGUUAUGGUGCUGAAGAAGCUUCAAAAUUCAAACCUCUGUUCGUGAAGCUAUUCUUCUAUCAAUCCUACAAAAACAAAGCAUAGAACAGAAUAUGAACAGAGAUACAGUAAAACAUCAAAGCACGAAACAGAACAGGUGCUUGCGGUCAUUCUAAUUGAUAGUUACAAGAGUAUUACUAUUAUGUUGUAAGGAGUAAAUGAAGAGCACCAAUAUUUUGGACCUAAUAAGAAAUGCUAAUGCCGCAGCUUUGAGAGAUAAUAAAUAGGACGAUAAAAAGGGAAAAGAGAAAAUUGUGAAAAUAACCACGGGUACUUUUUUAGGUUUUCUCACGAGAAGGUUAAUCAGAGGGGGAGGUGAAGAGAAGGGGAGAUUGAUUGAUUGUAAAGCAAAUUAAGAAAGAGGUUAUUGAAGGCAAUCUUACAUGAUUGAAUUUGAUCCAAAGAUGAAAGUUGGUUAUUAAUCGGUUAUGUCUAGGUGUUGAAUGUGAGAAACUUUGGACCACUGGGAGUCGGCGCCGCUGCUCUCAGGAGUGCAUCUUUCUUUUAACAGAGGAGAACCAUAAACCUCCAGACGUUUUAAUUUGGUGAGACUUCUCAUGGCAUCCUCAGAGGGUAGAUGUCCAAGCUCUUUGAAAAACCAUAAGUGCAAGUCUUCAAGAGCCGCAAAGUUUCCGAACCAAUCUGGCAGAGCUUUUAUACCUCCAAAUUGAUAUAGCGUUAGUGACGUCAUAGUGGUCAAGUAUUGGAUCUGAGGUGGCAGGGACUCCAUGUAUGGCAACCCAUAUAAGUCUAAUUCACGGAGUGCGGAUGACGAAGAGGAGGAGGAGGAUAUCAAUCCAGACCAAUCAAACUCAUUGUAAAUUGAAGAAUUUUCAUGAUCAUCUGAGAAGGACCAAUUACAAGCUUCCUUAAGCUGGUUAGGAUACCAAAUCCUCUGGGCGUCAUGCUUGUUUUCAGUUUGGGACACCAAUAUAAUCCCAGCUCCAAGAGAGAAGGCGUUUGUCGCAAAUCAAGUGGAAAGGAGAUAAGAUUGUCGCAAGCAAAAACCCGAAGCUCCUGGAGAGAGGUACAAGAGUGUAGCAUGUCACCUGGCAGAUUCGUAAAGUUGAAGCAAUAAAAUGCCAAAUGAGCUAACUUGGGGAGUGUUGUUGGCAAAUCCAUUAACCAUCGAGGAAAUUGAUUGCCCAUAAAAUACCAAAUUACCAACUCCUCCAAAUUUGAAUGGGGUCGAAGGCCAUCUAACACAUCUUUGUCGUUGUAGUUGUCGCCUUCUCGGUUGUAGGCCCACUCAAGUUGCAGCCUAAAUAGAUUUGCCUUUUCAGAUAGUUUUGCUUCCUCAGCUUCUUCCUUAUCCUUUGCUAGUUCCAGAUUGCGUAUAGUUAAACUGCCUUUGAGGUUCUUCAAGCUUCCAAGCUCUCCAAUUCGUCGACCCUUCUCUCGACCCACGUUAAAGAACUCCAGCGUCUGAAGGCAAGUCAGCCGUCCCAUCUCUAGCGGCAUUUGAAAUGCUUUAUCCAUGAUGUAAAGGUGGAGAUGUCUCAAGCUAAUCAAAUCGCGCAUCCCCUUCGGAAGAACUUUAAGAAAGUGACUAUUUAGCCUCAGUGUCUGCAAAUUAUAAAGUUUGCAAACAGAUUCCGGCAAAGUUUCACUUGUGGAAUCCUCAAAGUUAAUGUACCUCAAGUGUCUCAGUUUGCCAAUUGAGAUUGGCAGAUUCUGAUUUUUUGCACCGGACAAAUUCAAAACGUGCAAAUUCUUCAACUUCAUUAGCAUAUCAUCAGAUAAGCUACCCUGACUCAGAAACAAUGUAUGAAGCAAAUUUGAUCGACUCUCAAGAAGAUUUUUUGCACCUUCUCCAAAUGAGUCUAUUACAAGACAACGAACCUAUUACUAUUGUCUCCUGAACCAGUCUCCGAAUUAAUGAAUUUAGUAGACUUUGACAUUAUUGAUUUUGAGACUUCGUGUACCAUAUCAUGCAUUUUAUAACAUUCCUUCUCCAACCGUCUCUUAUUUCUUCCAGCAAAGAACUCUGCAAUAAAAUUUCCAAGUAAUACUCUCCAAUUUCCUCCAUUGUUUUGUUCUCGAGACCUGCAUGGAGGAAACCUUCUGCCAUCCAAAGUUCGAUCAGCACAUCCCCUUCCAUCUCAGCAUCCUCGGGAAAAAUAGAACAAUAUGCAAAACAUUUCUUGACGGCUGGUAAUGGCAAAUUAUCAAAACUAAACUUAAGUAUUUGCCUCACAUGGUCUCCACCUGCACUCAAAAGCCUAUUCUCCAAAAUUGAUUGCCACUCCUCUUUUCUCUUUAAAGAUAAUAGACCUCCGAUUACACUUGCAGCCAAUGGUAGACCGUCACAUCUUUUGAUUACUCUCUCUUUAAUUGCUUUUAGUUCAUCAGGUUCUUCUUCCCUUCCAACUACUUUUUCUUUUAGGAUAGACCAGCAAAGAUCAUCAGGUAGCCUUCCUAAGGCAUAGGCUUCAUCAUCCAUCCUCAGAACUUUCAACACAAUAUCUGCCAGUUGACCAAUACGAGUAGUGACAAGACACCAGCUUCCAUCAGUUGGAUUGAGCCCCUUCAAGGUGGUGAAAAAGUCAUCCCACAAUGCCUGAUUAUCAUCCCACACAUCAUCAAGGACAAGGAAAUAUCUUUUUCCCUCUAGUUGAUUCUGAAUUUUUUCAACGAUGACAUUCCUAUCAUCCACUUCAACCUUUUCUCCCGUCAAUUGCACUAGUAUGAGUUUGAAAAGUUCCACUACUGGAACUUUUUUUGAUACGCAAACCCACAACUUUUUCUGAAAGUGCCCAUCAAUUUGGUGAUUGUUGUAUAUCGAUUUAGCCAAAGUUGUUUUGCCUAGACCUCCCAUACCAGUUAUGGGAAGACAAGAGACAACCUUCUCAGAUGGGCUCAACAGCAUCUUCACUAUCUUUGAUUCAUCAUCGGCUCUUCCAGUCAUUGGAACAGCAACCGAGUCGGUCUGCCGAUUUCUUCUGUCUCCAGCAUCAGCAGCAGCAGGGAGGGCAGCUGUCAUCACUAACCUACUGACCAGCUCCAAUCUGUUGGCUUCUUCAUUUAUCUUAUUCAACUCAAGGUUGAUGUCCCUGACCUUAGAAGCCAUUCUCCAACGAAAAGCAAGAUUAAUGUUAGAGAAGGAGAAGAAGCAGCAUACCUUGAGCUUGUGUCGGUUUCGGGACUCCACCUGUUGACGAAGGGAUUCAUAGUGGAGCUCAUCCAACACAUUGUCCGCCUCAUAAGCCACCUCCUCGAGACUCUUCAACCAUUCUUGCACUACCCGUCCUGGUUUUGUUGUCUUUCCUCAGCAUCAGCCAAGAAAGCAUUGAUCCAGCGGAGAGUACGUGUCAUGCUGGCAACAUCCUUCUUGAACCCAACUAACAUACCAAUCCUGUCAGUGGCAAGAGAUACUGCCGUCUCCAAGGCAACCUGAAUAGUGGCACUGAUAACAGGGUCGGCCAUUUCUUCUUCCGUGGAUAUACAGCUCUGAGAUCAAGAUGGUUUUUUUUUUUGAUGGAAGUGUUUUUGCAGCGAGGAACUGGUAAUCUUAUCUAGGCUAGUAUAAUUGGUUAUGAAGAAAGGAGCAUUAAUAAUUAUUGCGCGUAGACGUGGAGUUCUUCUCUGACAAAUUUGGAAGCUUUUGCAUUGGCAUGUUUACAGAGUAACUUUCUCAAUAACCAUUGUUUUUGUCCACUUACAUGCAUGUCAUUAUUGUUAAUCCUUGGAAAAUGAAUUUAUGACAUACAGUAAUUUGGUCUGAAUUUUGUUCGGUUUUGGGAAGCGACCACACUGGGAAGCAAUAAUAAUAAAUGUUCUCUGUUUUCGCACUAGCUAUGAUGCAUUUUGCUUCUUGGCUUAGUAAUUAGGCUUGAGAUUUUAAAUUACCUUUUGUACUUUAGCGUUUUCAAGUACAUAACAUGAUCGGUAUGAAAUCCCAACUUAUGUUUCCUUGUUGCAAAUCUUGCCAAAACUUUAUAAGAAAUGUCUUAUCAAUUUCUUUGAUACCUGAAACACUAGAAAUUUCUCAUUCCUUAUGCGUAUUCUUGUUUAAUUAUUUAAUUUGGUUCCUGAAACACAAGAAGUUAGUAAAGAAUUUCGAUCCAAUUUGGUGCAACGUUUCUUUGACAAACUGAAUCGGAUGCUCCUGCAAUGAAAGUGUUUUUUUUUAUAGCAACAAUAACUUUCCUACAACCUAAUCUAAUCUAUUCUAUAGAGAAAGGGAGCCUAAUCUAUUUUAUUCUACAUGCCAGAGAGCCUAAAAAGACUAUAUAAGUGAGUUGGUAUACAGACCUAAUCCUAAUUAUAUCGUAUUUUGACGCUUUUUUUAAUUUUUUUUCAUUACGUAGAGUUCGAACUCCACAUUUACAAUCCAAAAAAAAAUUAAUCUCUUUUUUGUUACCGCUGAGCCAAAUCUCCCUUGUUUGUAGCAUAGUAGUUGCCGGGAUUCUUCAUCUGCCUCUGAUCCACAUGCCACUUGCAUGGGGGGCCAUCGGAUGUGGAAAAUUCCACCCAAGAAGGAAAAGAAACCGAGUUGAAUGAUGAAGAAAAGAAAAUGGCAAUCAUCAUUGAGACUCUAAUAAAUCUCACUCCUCAGUUCCUGGGACGUGAACGUACAAUUAAUAAUUCCAUCUAAAUUGCUGAUCCUAGGUGGAUCAGAUUUGAAACAUAUUAAUCAUUUGGAGACUCCUUAUUUUGUUUGCUUUCUGCAGGGGAUUUGAAACACAUUAAUUUCUUUAAAAUCCUCCAAUUUCUUUAAAAUUCACAGACCCCCAAAGUUCUCCAUUUCCAUGCUAGCUAUAUAUUUUCUUCUUAGGCUAGUUCAGAAUAGCUAGAAAUUUACAGUGGAUGCUUUUGUCAGCUCUUUAACCACUGGUAGAAAGAAGUGCUGCAGUGGAUACCAUUAUUAAUUGCCAUGCAGAAGUUUGCAUGCCAUUAUUGACUUGGCCUUUAUUGAUCAAUGCUUAGCUGGGUAUUUUACCUUUUUCUGAUUGAAAGCUGUCUGGGGCCUUUGGUCGUGGAAAAUAUCUCAAUGGUUUGACCCAAGACUGAGCCCCGCCAAAAAAAAAAAAAGAAAAAAAACUAUGUUCAACGAUAAAAAUGUAAAGGAGAAAGAGGAAAUGACAGCCAUAGCUGGUGACUUUGCAACAUUAAUUGCCUCAGUCAUUAAUCCUUGAGAAAUAGACUAAAAACGUUAUUUUGUGGGGGAAAAACUUUAAUAAAAAAUAAUCCUUGGUUCACUUAUCAAAAACAUGAAGUGGAGUUAGCAAUCAGGUUUGGCAUAUAGCGACAUAAUUGGGCAAUGGUUGGGUGCUUUCUUAGCUUUUACACUUGUGAAAUUGCCAAAAUAAUCACUCAUAAUUCCACAAGCUUUCUAGCACUUUAAAAUUUCAGACAUUUUGUUUCAAAAUGUCUUGUUUAUGUAUAGCAUGCAAAAUUUAAGUGUGAAAGUUUAAGGAGUUUCUUUAUUACCAAUUUUUUUUUGGAGUGCAAUAUACAAUCAACUGAAGUUAGAAGUGAAAUAGACCUUUAGCUCACACUAUGAUUAUACACUUUGACUGAAUUGGGAUGUUUUGGGAAGGGGAAAUGAGCAUGUUCUUGUGGAUUUCAAUUUUUACAAUUGAAUUAUUUGCCUAUGAUAUGUUCACAAGUUUAAUUUAAAUCGAGUUGUGAUAAUAGAAGAUUGUCGAAAGAAGACUUCAAAAGGUGGAAAUUGAUGGGGAAUAAACUGGUUAUUUGGAUACUUGAGUUUUCCCCAUUUUUGUAUCCGAUUCUUUUAUAAUUAAUUUUUCUCGUCCUAAAAAAUUUAUCUUUUUAGCUAAAUUUGAAUUAUUUUUUCUUAUGGUUCUUCUUUCUUCUAACAAUAUGAUAAAUUUGUUUAAUUUUUUUUAUCCCUAUGGACUAACUUAGUGUCAAAAAACUUUAACUAUUAACUGAUAGAUUUAUUAAUAUUGCUAGAAAUUGAAUAUUUGUUUAUGCAUAAAUAAAUUGCUAAAUUUUUCGUCCUUAAUUAAGUAGGAAUAUGUAACUAUGUUUAUGGUUAAUAUAAAAAUUGCAAUAAUGUAAAAACUAUACAUACACAAAAGGGUAGAGAGAAGAGCAUUGAUAUUUGGUCGCUUAAAAGUGCAGAGUUAUUCUUAACUUUGAUGCCUUCCUUUGCAAUGGAAAUAUAUAUUCCUUGCAUGGCAUCUUCGCUUUAAGUUUCUUGGAUGCUUUGAAAUGCAGAGUUAUUCUUGGCUUUGAUGCCUUCCUUCGCAAUGGAAAUAUAUAUUCCUUGCUCGGCAUCUUCACUUUAAAUUUCUUGGAUGCUUUGAAAUGGAAAUUCCUGGCAUGGGAUUUUCACUUUAACUUUCUUGCUGGGGCGGGGCCUUCAUCCUUACAUUUGCUGUUUGCUUAACAUAUAUUUCAUUCAUUCGUUAAUCCCUGAAAGAUGAACUAAUUAGAACAUAAUUUGGUCUUAACGCACACCUUAAUCUGUUAGCUAGAGACGUAUAUUAAGUGAAUAGUCAAUACAAAAAUCUAUUAGGCUUCUAAUUAUUUGUUAAUUCAAAUUUUGAUAUUGUUGAUGUUGAGCAUCGAGCCUUUUCAACUUUGCAUAAUCAAUGAGUACCCCACAUUCUGAACUGUGGUGAAUGAAGUUUGGCAAAGAAUAACUUCAAAUGUGGAUUUGCUUCAAACGUUAUAUUCUGAAAUGAAGUUCGGCAAAUAUAGCACCUGUGGAGCUCCAGUCCUUAAAGUUUUGACAAAAACAAAUUUAGUCCUCAAGCACGAUUGUAGUCCCUAAAGUUUCUAUAAGAACAACUCUGGUCUCUAACGUAUCCAAUAUAAAGUAGAUUUAGCAUAACUGAAUAUUUUUACAUUAUUGACAGAAUUUAUUCAUGUUUCCAUUAUAUUAAAUAUAAAAAAAAAAGAAAAAAUAGUGGCUAACUCUAAACAACAGUAUUAAGGACAAACAACUCAUUAGCUAACUAAUUAACUGGUAAAAAUUUGUUAAAAGUACAAAAUUCAAAUUAGUUGAAUCACUUAAUUCAUCAAUUUAAAACUUACUUUUUCUCUCUAUCCCUACCAACCCUAAGAAACGAAAAAAAGCCAUUGAAUUGCAUCUUUGCUUACAAAAUUAAUUUAAUGUACACAUGACUGAACGUUACUAAAUUCCCAUAGUAAUUAAAAAAAAGUUAGUCGAUUAUCCUAAAUUUGCUUAAAAUUGGAAACAUUUUGGGACAAAAAUUAUUUUUGAUCAAACUUUUAGAAGUAAAAUAGUUCAAGUGCCAAAAAUUGAGGACCAUACUUGUUUUUGCUAAAACUUUAGAACUAAAACCGUGCAAGUGCAAAACACUAAGGACAAAAACUACAUUUUUUCCAAAAGUUAAAAGAAACUUCAAAAAACUAGAAAAAAAUAUUAGCAAUCGGCGAGGUGUGAGAUUUAAGAAACCAGAGUUUUGAAUUUAGAACUUCUACUGUUUAUAUAGUUUCAAAUACAAAAAAUUUGCUUUUUAUGCUAUCUAAAAGAAUUUGUAAUGGAACUUGAUGAGUUUAAAUGCUUUCGCUACAGCACCAUUUUGAUUGCAUUGUAUUAAUUCAUUUACUCAUAAUUGUAUGUUGUACAAUGAUAAAUAAUGUUUCUUGAUUUGAUUGAAGCAACUAUUAUCCAUAGUUCAAACGAGUCAAUUAAGUAGAAAUGCUAUAUUGGAUACUUAUAAAGUAAACAUUGAAAAAUAUCAUUAAGCAGUUUCUACCUAUAGUUUGCAAUUCGAAUUCAUAUGAGGAAUUUCUUCUGAUUUUAGUUACCAUUUUUCUAAAAUUUCAAAUUUAGAAAAUAUUAUUUGCACCAAUUUUUUAUAAUCAAGAUAGUUUCAAUUCAGAUCUUUAACAAUUAUGCAGAUUUGAACUUAUUUAUGAGAUUAUAAAGAAAUGCCCCUAGCAAAAACACCAAAUCUGAAUAGUUUCUACAAAACUUUGAAAAAGACCACUUAAGUUUCUUAUCUAUCUAUCACUUUUGGGCAUUAUUAUCUCUGUAAGAAACAUGUGAUUAAGUCGUAUUAUGCCCACCUAAUUAUAUAAAUAGUUAGUCAAAAAUAAAAUUAUUUUAGUAUUGUCUCCUGAACCAGUCUCCGAAUUGAUGACUUUAGUACACUUUGACAUUAUUGAUUUUGCGACGUCGUGCACCAUAUCAUGCAUUUUAUAACACCUUCUCCAACCGUCUCUUAUUUCUUCCAGCAAAGAACUCUGCAAUAAAAUUUCCAAGUAAUACUCUCCAAUUUCCUCAUUGUUUUGUUCUUGAGAUCUACUUGAAGGAAGCCUUCUGCCAUCCAAAGUUCGAUUAGCAUAUCUCUUUUCAUCUCAGUAUCCUUAGGAAACAUAGAACAAUAUGCAAAACAUUUCUUAACGGCUGGUGAUGGUAAACAAUUAAAACUCAAUUUAAGUAUUUUCAUGACACUGUCUUCAUCUCCGCUCAAAUUUGAAAGCUUAUUCAUCAAAAUCAAUUCCGACUCCUCUUUUCCCUUCAUGCGCAAUAAACCUCCCAUUGCACUUGCAGCUAGCGGUAGGCCACCACAUUUUUUUAUAAUUUCCUUUUUCAUGACUUGCAAUUUUUCGGGAAUUUCUCCACCUGCAUUGGCUUUCUCUGUUAGGAUAAACCAACAAUCAUCAUCAGAUAGCUUUCCUAACACAUAAGGAUCAUGUGUGGCCACAAUGGAUGCAGUUUGUUGUUUGCGAGUUGUCACAACACACCAAUUUCCAUUAGUUGCAUUCAGGCCCCGUAACAAACGUAAAAAAUCAUCCCACAAGAUUUGGCUUUCAGUCCAGACGUCAUCAAGAACAAGAAGAUAUUUUUUCCCCACAAGUUGUUGUCUAAUUUCCUGGACAAUGACAUCCCUACUGGUUAUUUCAACAUUUCUUCUCGUGAGUGAUUCUAAAAUCAUUUUCAAAAGCCUUGUCACUUCAAAAUUGUCGGACACGCAAACCCAAAUUUUUUUCUCAAAAUGGCUAUCAACUUGGCUAUUGUUGUAUACAGAUUGAGCUAAAGUUGUCUUUCCCAAUCCGCCCAUCCCAAGGAUGGGAAUUACAGAAACGGCAUUUUCUGACAAGCUUAGCAAAAUCUCCACCAGCCUUGUUUCAUCCUUAGCUCUUCCUACAACAUAAUGGCCAGCUAUAGAAUCCGUCUCUCUAUUUAGAGUGACUUUAGCAGUUGUAGAAGGGGGGAAAGUUGCCCUUUGGAAUCUGAUCAGUCCAAAAUCAUUCGCUUCUUUAUUGAUCUUAUUCAACUUCUUGUUGAUGUCGCUGAUCUUAGAGGCCAUUCUCCAUCGGAAAACGAUAUUAAUGUCAGAGGACAGGAUGAAGGAGCGUACCUUGCCCACGAGUUGGCGAUGAAGAGCUUCAUAAUUCAGCUCGUCCAACAAAUUCUCAGCAUCAAACGCCACGGCUUCCAGCCUCUGGAGCCACAGUUGCACGGCCUGGUCGUGCGUUUGCUUUUCCUCAGCAUCAGCCAAGACAGCUUGUAUCAUGGCAACGGAUCCUCUCAGGGUCUCCAAAUCCUUCUUGAAUUGGAAUAACUUGCCAAUCCUUUCAUUGGCAAGGGCAAGUGUCUUCUCCAGUGCCACCUUUAUUGUGGAAGUAAUAAGUGCAUCAGCCAUUCUUUUUGUUCCUUGGGCGAGUCUUCAGAUCAAGAUACUCUUUUGCAGCGGUAGGUUUUAGCUGUAGCUAGAAGCAGAAAGGAACUGCUCUUUACUCAAACGGAAGUGACAAGACUUAUGAGGAUUUUUUGGUGCUGCACUUCUUUGACAAACUGGAUCGGAUGCUUUUGCAACGGAAGUUGCUUGGCAUUUUCAGUUGAAAACAUAGAGGUUGCUGGGAUUCUGCAUCUGCUUUUGAUCCACAUUCCACACGCUUGGGCCCCUGGUCGUGGAAAAUUCCACCCAAGAAGGACAAGAAACUGUGCUGAAAAAUGAAAGGUCCACAAUAAUUUUUUAUAAGAGAGAAAAAGCAAAAGAGAAUGACAAUCAUAAUUGAGACUCCGACAAUUAAACAUAGUAUUAAUUCCUUGGGGAUCAGAAUUAAAACAUAUACAAGUACACCUUAUUUUGUUGGCUUUCUGCAAAGGAAUACGCUAACACUAUGGCUUAAAAUCCUUGAAUUUAUUUACGGCCCAGAGACUUCAAAGUCCUGAACUUUUUUGCUUUUCCACAAAGUGUAGAAGUGUUGCAGCAGUACAUCUUUGAGAAACUGGGAUCCCUUUAAUUGAAAUAGAAGUUUGGUUGGCAAUUUCACUGGGCCUUGUUAAUCAAUGCUUAGCUGAGGUUUUCAUCUGUUUCUGAUUGAAGAACGCCAGCUGGGGCCUUCGGUUGUGGAAAAUACCUCAAAUUUGAAGUCGAAUCAGUAAGCAGACUUGGUAUGUAACGAUUUAAAUUGUCUAGCAACUGGAUGCUCUUCUUAGCUCUUUACAUUCGUGAAAUUGUCAAAAUAGUCCCUCGUAUUUCCAAAAGUUUUCUAGCUCUUUGAACUUACAAAGAAGGAAUUAAGAACUCACAUUUUGACGCAAAACGUCUUAUUCAUGUCCCAUAUACGAAAUUUAAGUGGCGAAAAUUUUGAGCAGUUUCUUUAUUAUAUAUUAUUUAUUUUUUGGCAUACAAUAUACAAUGGAUUGGAAUUAGAAGUGGAAUAGACCUUUUAUCUUACGCUAUAUUUAUACACUUUUGCUGAAUUUAGAUGUUUCAAAGGGAGGAAAUGAGCAUUUUUUGUUGAAUGCUUUGCUGAGGCGCCAACUCUUAAACUGCUGAGGCAUUCUAUUGUUUGUGCAAAAAAUUCUGAAAAGAAUGAUGGUCUGACCGAGAAGCACAAGAAAUUAUUGUCCUUAACAAUUAGAAUGUUAAAAAAAAGGGGAAAAUGACAAUGAUGUUGUGAUUUUGGGUACAUUAUUCAUCCCAUUUUUCUAGUUCUUGAGAAAUAAAAUAAAACCACAGGUGGUGACAAUCACAGGUAAAUGGGAAGGGAAAUGACAAUCACGGGUGGUGACAUGGGCAACAUUAAUCAUGUCAUCUGUUAAUCCAGAAAUAAAUUUGAAAAGAAUAAUAAAUUGGCCUUACAAACUAUCCUUGGGAAUUGGACUAACAGCAUAACUGGAGUAAUAUUUUGUUUGCUUAAAAACUUUUAGAAUUUGGUCAAAAUCAAGAGACCACAAAGUGACCGCAAAGUGAUCAUUUCAUACAUCACGUAAUUGGCCAGAAAUGGUUUGCAUUUUAACUUGUGAAAAUUGUUUAAAUAUUCUCUCAUACUUUAGGAAGUUUUCUAGCGCAUCAAUCAAACUUGAAAGAAGGAAUUUAACAAGUCAUAUCUUAGACCGUAACUCUUCUAUUAGCCUCCUAUCCUAUUUAUGAUUAGUUUUCACACUCAAUAUGUGUUGUUUACGUUUUAUGUGCAAUAUUUAAUGAAGUGCUGAAAAUUUUGAGGAGUUAGUUUAACUAAAGCACAAACUUAAAUGUUGGGAAGUUGCUUGGUUUUUAACUGAAAAAAUUUCCAAGGCCAAUGCUUGGAUUCUUUGUUUUUUUCUUAAUUUCAAUCGCUUGUUUGUGUUGUCAUAUCGAUUCCUUAAAACAUAUUAUUUGGAUGUUUUGAAAUGGCUGUGGUUGUUUGACAAAUUUGGAUGCUUUUGUAUUGGCAUUUUUACUUUAACUUUAUCAAUUAUUUUGAUUGUGGACAAUAUCUCAACGAUUGUUGCAUUUAUGAGGAGAAUCAUUUAUGUCCAAGAUAAAAUUGAACUCGGGAUCCCUUACUUACAACACCUCCUACCUUAUCACCCACACCCAACCCUCCCCAACUUGAAUAAUAAUUUGGUCUUAAUUACUGAUCCUCAAGAAUUAGAAUUAGAGCGCGCAUCUUAUUUUGUUUGGUUCCCUCAAGUGCCAGAGCAAGAAUUUUUAUCGGAUCAAUUAACGGUCGGUUUUUGGCUAAUGAAAAUAUUCUAAAUAAGAUUGUGAAAUCAAUUAAUUUCAUAUACAAUCCAAAUAAGAUUAUGAACUCCUUAUUUGUUUAAUUAAUUUCAUAUGCUAAUGAUUGUAACUCGCCAAAUAAUUGACGGUGACUGUAAUAAAAUUUCUUUGUUAGGGGUCAAAGUUCUUCCUUUCCGCACUAACUGUGUUGCAUUCUGAUUCUCGGAUAAAUAAUUACGCUUUGUGACUUCAAAUUACAUAUUCAUUGACACAAAAAACACAUAAACUCUCCCUGAUUAUUAAUGAGUGACAAAUUUUAUUUGUAGAGCAUAUAGUCCACGUUCUACCAAUCUCAAACUCUCUAUAUUAUUUCUAGGUCCUAGACAAAUAUUUUUUUUUGUUUUUGAAAGAAAGAAUUUGAGUGAUUUCAACUCUAGUUAUCACUACAGUGAAACACGAUAGACUUUUGUAUUCAUUUAUUUAUUUUUUUAACAAAAAAAAGAGGUCCAACUAAGAAUCAGGCUAACUAACAAGAAAAAAGCAAUGUCAAUCGAUUUGAUUUUGGCCCAAGGAAAGUACAUAGCGGUUGAAUGUUCACUCAGUAAAAUGGUCAGAUCAUUGAGAAUCUGAAAGUAGAAGCAAUGACUCUAUUGCUUAAACCUGAAACAAUUUUCUGUGCUUAGACAUACUUUGGCAUAAUGCUUUCAUUUUUUUAUAUAAACUCAUUAUCUUCCCUUUUCUGGCAAAUCAGCAAUAAAACUCAACAUUUUCUCCGAGAGGCCUUUAGGCAUUGGCAAUUGUAGCACAAGCAAAGCAAUAAGAUGUUCAAUUCCAGCUAUACAUAUGGUAGCAAGAGUUUAUGAUCUGAAUCCGCAUAAAAAAUGAAUUGAGAUGCUAAUUUGAGACGAAUGAAUGUACUACUGGCCGCAUGUAAUGCCCUGAAUCGAAAAUGGCUACCACUUCAAUCCAUAGAAUCCACUAGCGUAAGGAGCAGAAAUAUGAUGAAGGAAACUGGACUGCAACAUGGACUAAUAAGAAUCAGAUAUGAUGAUUCUUGAUUGCUUCAGAAAAUCUUGUAUAUUUGAUUAUUUGACACAAGACGUCAAUAUGCUUCAAAUGAAAGAGUGAAUCCAACAAAUAAGGCAUGACAAGCUGUGAUUAAUGCCAUACAAACCUGAGUUUAUCUAUACGAAUUAUUCAGGAAGUUGCUGUUAGUUUCAUUGAAUUAACAGAGAAGAUAGUGAAGAGUGAAGAGUGAAGAGCAGAGCCAUUCCAAAAUGCCAAAGAGACAGAGAGAUUAUAAAGAUGAUCAACUAAUCAUAAUCAGCCACACGCCCUUCAAGAAGGGCAUCAUACAGGGAGGCAUGAAAAUAACAUUUAGUCCAACAUAACGACAUUCAACACGAAUAGCCAAAUAUCGGAGGUUUGAGAAAUGACAGCAAUUGUUGCAGUCAAGCAAUAGCAAUGAAAGGGGGGACUACACAUCCAAAAGAAGGCACAGCAAUAUGAUCAGUGUGGAACAAAAUUUUCAUUAUAAACUAAUUCAGAGCCAGCUACAACAUCACAGAAUUGCAGGCAAUAGACAUGAAACUUCCAAUACAAGGCCUUUGAUAGGUUGCAAUUCAUUCACUUAUUUUAUUAUUAAUUUCCCCUAUUACUUGACCUGAUGUGAAUUAAUUAUUAGAUUCUACUCACUUUUCGUAAUUUACAUUUAUUUCAGGGAGUAGAACGAAAAUAUAAUAACAGGUGCUAAUUUGGCAGGAAAAGAGUCCAGAUGAUAGAGCUUAUUCUAGGGCAUUUUUGGAACAACAAACGUGAGCCCUUGUUGGGCGAAUUGGGCCGAAGUCUUCACUUUCCUGCACAGGAGCCGCCGCAAGGAGUAUUCCUUUAUAUAGGAAAAUUAUGCAGGAAAAAGGGGGCUUCUUCUUCUGGUGCGGCGGACGCCGCACAGGAGCAAUAGGCUAAUUGGAAUAGGAGUUGCGCAGAGGAAGAGCAGUGACUCUCUUCUUAGUUUCUUUUGUCCUUUAGCUUAGUUUCUUUUGACUUUUCUUUCUUUUUAGCUUUUAGUAGUUCCUUGUCUUCCUUCGAAUGUUAGCCAAGAGUACAAGCAAUCAAUCAACUCAUGUAGCUUACUUUUCUUAUUGAUUUGAGCGAAUUGAAUUUGCCUAAUUCAUGGAUACGAAGGUCGCAGCUAUUGCCGCAAUUUCUGGUGGGUUUAGUUCAUCAAACAUGAACUAAUUUCGCCACUCUAGUCAAGAACAACGGGGAUUUGGUUCUACUAAAUUUGUGAGAUCGAAUUGGUUUUUAUAUAUUUCCAUUAUUCACUGGUAUUUGUCUAUCUUCUGCUUUAUGUUCAUAUGGUUGUUUUGUUAUUUGAUUAUCCAGGGCCCGGAUUCUAGAUUAAUUCAAUAACCUGAAGCCAAUUAGGGUAGUUAAAUCCAUAAUUGUUUAAUUAUUCUAAACUGGUGGUAACUGGCAUGAUUGGGUUUGUGUCAGGGAGAUAGACAGGCUAACUUAAAGAGACCCUCGUAGCGUGUUGAUUGGUUAGAAUUAGGCUCUUCUAAUUAUUCAUGCAAUUAGGGAAUUAAACUUCUAUGGUCGUACCUAGGGUUGUUUCCUGAUUAGAGAAAUAGUCAACGGUCGUACCUUGGCUAUCGACAAAUUGAGGAAGAGUUGGUUGUUUAUCGCAUGUAUGACAACUAUAACUAAUUUAUCAGAUAGUAACUGGAAUAAUCCUUGCAUCUGUGAUCGAAUUAAGUGAACCAUCUCCGAAGUUGUCUCUUGGCUAGAGUUCGUCCAUUAUUAUUUUUAUUGUGAUAAUUAGUUAUUUGAGUUGUAGUUAUUUUAUUUUAUUUAUUCAAGUAAUUUAGUUACUCUCAUUUUCAAAAACCCCCCAUAUCUGGAACUUGAGAAGAAAUUAAAUUAUCCCCAGUCCCUGUGGAUUCGACCCUGCUCACCGCUAUAUACAGAAUUUGUAUUUUAUUUGAGCAGGUAUUUAUUAUUGCACAGGUUCGGCACCUGUCAAUUUUUGGCGCCGUUGCCGAGGACUGGUGUCAGAUUAAUUUGUUUCUUUUCGAGUUCACCUUGUUUUCAUUUUUAAUUUAUUUUUUUUCCCUUUUUUUAUAUAUAGUUUAUGGCUGCUAACAUUCCAUAUUUUGAUGAUAGACUGGACUUUGUUCCUGAAUGGGGUUAUGAAACUCAUGUUUUUCCUAAUGAUCAAUGGGCUGUUGCAAAUUGUGGAACUUAUUUUGAUUCAGGUUAUUCAACUAACACAUGCCCCGCAUUUCAAGAUAAUCUAAGCGUUCCAAUUGAUACUUUUGGAGAUUUUCCACCCCAAUAUCAAACGUGGUAUGACCCUUAUUCAAACGGGUAUGAUCAAGGAUGGUGGGAUAAUUCCAAUUUUGAUUAUGCGACCGGGCCAAUGGAUUUUCAACAGCAAGAGUCUCAGCAAUCGUCCUCCGUGUCAGGUAUGUCUCUUGAAGAAAUGAUAGGUUUACUAAUUGCUAAUUCAAAUCGAUUUCAUCAGGAGACACAAGCGAGCCUAAAUCGAUUUCAUCAGAAGACACAAGCUGUCGCGACCUGGCGGAUCAACUGCGUCAAUUGACAGCCAGGAUAGAGCGAUUAGAGGCUCACCUUGAAGAAUUGCCCUCACAAACCAAUAUCAAUCUUGAGGAAGAUGAGAGUGCAAUUGUCCGGCCAAAUGACAUGGAACUGCAAGAGUUUCAAGAAAACGGAUUUAAAGAUGCAGUUGAAAAGGAAGCUGAAGUGCAAGAAAUGAGACUCCAGGAUCAACUCAUUCAAGUGAACGAUUCCAGUGAACAAUCUCCAAAUGCGGUGACAUCUUCUCCACUCCUUAAUCAAUAUUUUCCUGACUCCUAUUCUUCAACUCCUGUUACUGAAAUUGAUUUUAUUAUACCAGAAAAUUUAAUAUUUCAUGACAGGAAUAAGUUAAGAGUGGAGAUGGCAAAAUAUCUUGAACCAAUGAAUGUGUGUGAUGGAGGAGUGAGUAGAGAAUGCAGAUCAUUGUUGACUUGUUUAGCGCCAUUUACUAGUCCAUGGAAGCCCGUAACUCGUGUGCCAAGAAUUACUCCAUCUAUGAGGGUUACCAGGAUCACGUUGAAGAUGAACCAUUGAAGCGAGCCACAAGAUUCUAUCCUCCAUGAGCAAAACAUGAUAAUGUCUAGCCAAAGACAUUAAAGAAAGGCGCUCAUUGGGAGGCAACCCAAUUGUUUCUUUCAAUUGCUUAUUGGUUUAGUGACAUAGUUUAAAUCUGUUUUCCCUUUAAUUUGACUGAUUUUGGGUGUUGAUCUUCGUCUUUGCUGAUUUGUAAGUGACCUUCACCCAUGACGCGCCCGUGAUGAUGUGCAGGAAGCUCACGAUCAGGAAUUUCUGAACUUCUGGGAGCUCUCUUGCCCUCAUGACGUGCCCGCGUGAUGAUGUGCAGGAAGCUCACGAUCAGGAAUUUCUGAACUUCUGGGAGCUCUCUUGCCCUCAUGACGUGCCCGCGUGAUGAUGUGCAGGAAGCUCACGAUCAGGAAUUUCUGAACUUCUGGGAGCUCUCUUGCCCUCAUGACGUGCCCGCGUGGUGACGUGCAGAUAGCUCACGAGCAGAAACUUCUGGAGCUCUCUUGCCCGCAUGGCGUGCCCGCGUCACGUUCGCGGAAAGGUAAAAAAAAAAAAAAAAGAGAGAGAAAUUUUUUUCAAACCGUAGCUAGGUUUCUCAAUUAUCAAAAAAAAAAAAAAAAAAUUUCUCAAUUAUCAAGAAAAAACAAAAACAAAAACAAACAAAAAAAAAAGUUUUUUUCCUUCUUUCUUUUCUUUCUUUCCUUUCUUUUUCUUUCUUUCUCUUUUCUUUCUUUCUUCUCCUCUGUUCGCUGUGUCCGCCGCUCGUGCCCACCGCCAUCUCAACUCCACCGCGUGCCACCCCCUUCCUCAACUCAAUCGCGCGCCCCGCCGCCGCUCUCCGCUGCUCUCCACCAGAUCGCGCGCAGCCCGCGACCCCGGCGCGCCACUAAGCCGCGGCCCAGCCUCUGCGCCGCCGCUGCUAAAGCCCCACGCGACUCCCUCCGCAAGUGGCGACGAGCCCACAGGGACGUGCAGCAGCCUCUGUCCAGCAGCCAUGCUCUGCGCACGGACGCAGCCAUCCACCACCAACUUCAACGCCGCUUCUCUGUCUGCCGCCUGGGGUAGUCCCAGUGGAGGUAUUCGACACUUGCCCCCAAUUUCUCAGUGUUAGUCGGUGAUAUUUGGUAGUAGCUUAUGCAUAUUUGGGUGAUUUCCACCAGUGGUACUGGUUAGAUUAUUCUAGCUUGGAAUUGCUAAUUCUUUUGGGGUGGGUGAAGUUGUGCAUUUAAUUGGCCAUCUGGAGCCACUUGUUGCAAUUUUGGGGUGAUUGGAUGAUUCCUGUAGUUGAAUUGGGUGGAAUUUGUGGCAUUUGUGUUGCCUGUUGAAAUUGGACGAAUUUACUUCAAUUGUUGGGAGUGGUCUGUCCAUUGUUUCCAAUGCUGCUUCACGAGAUAUUCUAUUAUAAAUCUGGGGUCCCGCUGAUUGCUUUGUCCAUUAUACUUUUAGCCCUAUGUUGACUUUCUUUGGAGAUUCGGAAUUAUUCACUGGUUACUGGAUAAAUAUUGGGGCUUAUUGCUUGAAUUGUUAGGACUGUAGUAGCGCAAAUUUCUGGGUUGUUUGUUGAAUCGGAAGGGCAUUGUGACCCUGUAUCGCUUCUUGAAGUUGGUUAACUAAUUUUGGUUUACUGGGUGUGUUUAGUCUCUUGAUUUCACUUGCCUUCCGUAGUCGUUGCAAAUGAGUUCAUUUGCUGCCUUUGUUGGAGUAUCUGUUGCGAGUGUGGCAUUGUAUAGCUUCUACUGUUAGCUGAUCCAUUGGGGGCCAUAGGUAGCAUUUACUCUGCUCUGUUAUAUCUAUUUCAUUGAUUUUGGACUACGUUUUGCACCAGUGGUACUGGUUGGGGUAUUUUGAUUAGCAUUUGUUAUUUCCAAUUGGUUGGCUGCCUGAUUAAAAAGGAAAAACUUGUGAUUGUGUGGUUAUUGUCUACUUUCUAUACUACUAUUGCUGGAAUUGCCGCUUCUGAGUUGAAAAUUAACUAUCCACUUGGAGACUUUGUUGAGAUUUUGGGUGGACAGAGUUGUGCAUUUGCUGGUUGAAUUGAGUUAUGAUGUCUCAGAACUGGGGCAUGUACUUCACCACAUUGGUUUCCCUCCGCAGCUGCCAAAUACCCUUAGCCACUCGAGAGGGAAGUUUCUUUGUCCUCUUCACUUUAAUUGUUUUAUUCCCUCCAUUGAGGACAAUGUAGGAUCUAGGUGUGGGGGGGACAGCUAUGCUAGUUUCUUUGCUAGUUUCUUUUUCUAGUUCUUAGUUUUCAGAUAUUUUUCUUUUAUUUUUAGUCUGUUAUUUGUCUAGUUUUCGUUUACAUUUUGUCAUUUAUCUGUCUAGCUCUCCUAUGACUGCCAAAUUUGAUGUUGGAUUGUUGCCCCUAUUUCUACUUUUGCCAAGUUUUAAUAAUAAAAAUGUGUCGAGUUAAUGUGGUUGAAUCAAGAGCAUUCCUUUGGUGAAUAUCAGUGAUUAUGUGGCUCUUAUAAUUUUUGGUUAACUUUCCUAGACAUAGGGAAUGAUUAUUGGCAUUUUCAUGUGAAUUGGUCCGGUUAUUAACUUUAGUUCUCCAUGUUUGAACAUGAGGCUAGCUGAUGCAAGUUUUCUUUUGGUUCUUGUGUUAUAUUGAGUUUUUUUUUAUUUUUAGCUAUGAAUAAACUUGACUGUACUCCGCUAUUAGUUACUACUGAGUAACCGGGGAUCUGCACCUAAAAGUGUUGAUUCUAGCGUCAAAAGGUAGUAAUUCCUAUGAAUACGUGGUCACGUGGCGAUAGAAGCUGAGUAACCGGGCUCUUUCAUCUGGCCAAUGUUGGAGUUCGCGUCAAAAGGCUUAAAUGGCUAGCGACUAAGUCUUUUGUUACUAUUGAAAAAAAAAGAAAGAAUCAAAACAAAAAAAACAAAAAAAAGAAAAAAGAAAAAUCAAUCAAAACAAAAAAAAAAAAAAAAAAAAAAGUGAAGGUUGUGUUAGUCAGCUUGCCGAAUUAUGGAUUUAAUGUUGAGAUUUUGUUAAUAGUUGGACCACUUGCUGAUAAAUGUUGUGCGUCAUUCCUUUUUCUUAUAUUAGUUAACUUGAAAUUAGAGGAGUUUGUGGUUUAGAAGCUAACCGAAGUGAUAUUUCUUGGACUUGAUCAUUGGUGCUUGAUUAUUAUUUUUCUUGAUAUCUUGGCAAUUUGGUAGAUAGAGCAAUGGUCAUUAUCACAUUUUGGUAUCUGUUUACUAUUCUUAUGCUUGAGGACAACAUGGUUUAGGUGUGGGGGGAAUUGAUAGGUUGCAAUUCAUUCACUUAUUUUAUUAUUAAUUUCCCUAUUACUUGACCUGAUGUGAAUUAAUUAUUAGAUUCUACUCACUUUUCGUAAUUUACAUUUAUUUCAGGGAGUAGAACGAAAAUAUAAUAACAGGUGCUAAUUUGGCAGGAAAAGAGUCCAGAUGAUAGAGCUUAUUCUAGGGGCAUUUUUGGAACAACAAACGUGAGCCCUUGUUGGGCAAUUGGGCCGAAGUCUUCACUUUCCUGCACAGGAGCCGCCGCAAGGAGUAUUCCUUUAUAUAGGAAAAUUACGCAGGAAAAAGGGAGCUUCUUCUUCUGGUGCGGCGGACGCCGCACAGGAGCAAUAGGCUAAUUGGAAUAGGAGUUGCGCAGAGGAAGAGCAGUGACUCUCUUCUUAGUUUCUUUUGUCCUUUAGCUUAGUUUCUUUUGACUUUUCUUUCUUUUUAGCUUUUAGUAGUUCCUUGUCUUCCUUCGAAUGUUAGCCAAGAGUACAAGCAAUCAAUCAACUCCUGUAGCUUACUUUUCUUAUUGAUUUGAGCGAAUUGAAUUUGCCUAAUUCAUGGAUACGAAGGUCGCAGCUAUUGCCGCAAUUUCUGGUGGGUUUAGUUCAUCAAACAUGAACUAAUUUCACCACUCUAGUCAAGAACAACGGGGGAUUUGGUUCUACUAAAUUUGUGAGAUCGAAUUGUUUUUAUAUAUUUCCAUUAUUCACUGGUAUUUGUCUAUCUUUGCUUUAUGUUCAUAUGGUUGUUUUGUUAUUUGAUUAUCCAGGGCCCGGAUUCUAGAUUAAUUCAAUAACCUGAAGCCAAUUAGGGUAGUUAAAUCCGUAAUUGUUUAAUUAUUCUAAACUGGUGGUAACUGGCAUGAUUGGGUUUGUGUCAGGGAGAUAGACAGGCUAACUUAAAGAGACCCUCGUAGCGUGUUGAUUGGUUAGAAUUAGGCUCUUCUAAUUAUUCAUGCAAUUAGGGAAUUAAACUUCUAUGGUCGUACCUAGGGUUGUUUCCUGAUUAGAGAAAUAGUCAACGGUCGUACCUUGGCUAUCGACAAAUUGAGGAAGAGUUGGUUGUUUAUCGCAUGUAUGACAACUAUAACUAAUUUAUCAGAUAGUAACUGGAAUAAUCCUUGCAUCUGUGAUCGAAUUAAGUGAACCAUCUCCGAAGUUGUCUCUUGGCUAGAGUUCGUCCAUUAUUAUUUUUAUUGUGAUAAUUAGUUAUUUGAGUUGUAGUUAUUUUAUUUUAUUUAUUCCAAGUAAUUUAGUUACUCUCAUUUUUAAAAACCCCCCAUAUCUGGAACUUGAGAAGAAAUUAAAUUAUCCCCAGUCCCUGUGGAUUCGACCCUGCUCACCGCUAUAUACAGAAUUUGUAUUUUAUUUGAGCAGGUAUUUAUUAUUGCACAGGUUCGGCACCUGUCAGCCUUGCUCGUAAACUCCCAAUGACUAGGCUAAUUUGCAAGAAAUUCCUGGGUUGAAUGAUAUUUUUAUAUUAUUAUUUUUCGAAUUGUCAUUUCCUCUACUUGUUUAUUUAUAUAUUAUAAAUUCACAUGAAAAAAGUAGAUAUCCAAAACAUUCUACAGGAGGAAAAUAGCCCCUCCCCCCCCUUUUGUGGAGAAAUAAGUUCAUCUGAAAUUUUUGUGCAACAAACAGAUUCCCUUCCUUCUUUCUUUCUGAGAAGUUAGUUUUUAUUACUUUUAGGUAACUAGUUAAAAUAUUACCACUACAUUCCGUACUGAUACAGAUAUGAGAUGAUUUACUUAUAUUGGCCAUCAAAGUCUUAGAGGCAUAGAAAGGUAGAAAUGCUUUAAUUGUAACUACAAUGAAAAUGAUUUGAGGCCAAGAUGUGUAAGAUCCAUGUCACAUUAUUGCUUCAUGGAACAAUAUUGACGUAAAAGGAGACAAGUUCGCAUAGAAGUAAUUUUGCAGAUAGAUGCUAUGUAAAAUGUCAGCUUGAUGAAGUAAGGUUGACGUUAUAUGUUCCUAUAUAAUCCUGUUCAAUUGAUUUCCAUAAUUUCAUCUCUCCACCGUUCCCAUCCACCAAGUGGGAUCCUUUCUUGAAUAAAAAUUGGUGCCUUAGCAAUUCAGUUUUCUAAAUUGCUCUCAAAUUAACACAUAUAGAAGGGCUCAACUGAUUCUUUGUGCUCUGAGUCCUGUCUGAGCUUUACAGAUACAAGGAGCAAUGGAAAAGUAUCAUGUAGUCAACUGCAGAACACUGAGAAAAAAUAUGUUGCCUGUUAUAGAGCUAAGAUACAACUUCAAGAAGGAUGCAAGCACCUAUCAGGGUUCAGCUAAUCCACAUCUUUCUGCUGCAAAAUACUGGCUACUUUGAACUACAAGCAGCACGGAAGAUAUGGCAAAUUGAGUUCCAAAAGAGGUAAAAGAACACCUCAUCAACAUGUCUACAAAUUGCUGAAUGGUUGGACAGUUUAAAAUCACCAGCCGACAAGGAAGAUCUCCGGCUUUAGCCAUCCAAGGCAGAGAGCAAAAGAGAAUUCCAUCCUGGAUGUUUUCAUCUGAUCUGAUUGAAACAGGAUCUGGUUCAGCAAGGGAUCAUACGACUUUUAAUAAUGUACCAAGGAUAGUAAGAGCUAUGAAGGUUUUGAACUUAAAAUCACUGCAAAACACAAAAACUCAAGAAACUCGGGACAACAUGUAGUCAAGAAUAAGGCCAACACAUAGUUGCAUGACAUUUUUGUUGUAUUUGAAACACUAAAAAAAGAACUUACCAUGAAGAAAGGAGCAACCAGCAAGUAUAGAAGGUGGGAUGAGCUUAAUAGCCUUCAUCACAGCGGAUGAAACAAUUGCAGCAAGUAGCAGCGAGCAGCAAGUAUGCUUGACAGUCUUGACUAACUACGCCAGAGUCCAUGCAGCUUUAUUGCAUGAACAGACAUCUUCUGUGGCUGCUCCAAAAAACUUCUACAUUAGGAGAAGAUUUCUCAAGUUUUAGUUGUCAUAUAAUCAGAAUCAAAGUAUUUAAAAGUAAAAAUUGAAUAGUAAAACAAGAGUAGUAUAUCUGACCUCACCGGACUCUUAGAACCAAAAAGUAGUUUGACAACCAACAGCUUUGGAAACUCCUGGAGUCUUUUUGGCUAGAAAAUCACAACCAAGGAAAAGUGAGACAGAAACCCAUCAUCUACGAGAUUAUCGAACAAAUCACUAAUCAAAUGGUUCAAGAAGCUUGAUAAAUGCGCCUUCAAGAGGUGAUUAAACUUUGGAGCAACUAUUUACUCCCACUAGAAUCAUAAGUUAGGGAGCUGAUCACUUUAGCAAUCACAUCUUACAUCCACAAAAGCAUAUAUAUAAAAUCAACAAAACGAAACUCCUAGUGCUUAUUUCAUAUUGAUGGGUAACUUGUAGGAAAUGCAAACCAAAAAUUAAUUAAUACCAGACAUAAAUCUAAUCUAAGUUCAUCUAGGGUAGAGACCACAAAAAUCUGCUCGUUAAGUGCAGGAGAAAGACGCGCAGCAGAGAAUUGCUGGUUUAAAGUCUUGUAGAAAAGGUUUCUCGAAUUGCUGCAUGUGAUACCGAAUCUAAAACAUCCAAUUCAUUUUCAACUGGGGAAACUUUAGAGUGAGCAACCAUUUCAUCCUGGUGAAAUCACAAAUUUAAAGAGAGUGUGCUGAUGUAGAACGUACAAAGGACAUUAACUGACAUACUAUGAUAAACAAAACUAAAUGCUCAAUUCCACCCCACAUUGGUGCGUUUGUUUCAUCCCCAAAACAUGGUAUUGAAUUAAGCCUCCAUUUGCUAUGUUUGAUCUUUGCAUCAGCAAAUAAUAUGUGAUAGAAAGUGAGGAAUACCAAUUUAACAUUAGAAAUUAACCAAAAAGAUUGUUCAGUUUCAUUAAUUGAUAUGGAGCCAUGCAUGGCUUACUAGUGGAAAAGGUUACGAAAUAUUGUGCUUAUUCUCAUUAAUUGAUAAAAUUUACCUGUAACCUUCAAUCAUGAUGAAGUGAUUGAAAGGACUGUCUCUGCAUCCAACUUGGCAGACCUACUCUGUGUUGCUUCAAUUAUGAGUUGAUAUACUGUCAAGGGAAGAGAGGAUUUUCAAGAGUGAGAAGCCUACAGUAAUUACGAGCCAUCAGGGUUCCCGACUGAGCUUUAAGGCUACAGUCACUGCAAAACAGAAAACUCAGAUUCAGGAUUUCACAUAGCAAAUCAUAAGGCUAACUGGAAAUUGCAUGACAUUUUUUUAGUCAAUUAUUCAGAAAGCCAAAUCAGUAUUUGUUUCUGUUGUGCUUUUCUAACCUAAAUCAGUAAGAAGAUAUCAAAAUUUUCUGCUUAGUCUACAAGUACCGGAAGUGCCAUAGAAACUAUAAUAGUUUUUGUUUAAAACACUGAAAAAAGAGAAGUUUUAUAACAAAAUAUUAAAUAUUAUUUUCCUGACGACAAGAUUUCUUUUGUUUUACAUUACCAGUGGUUAAAAGUCAAAAUUGAGUAGUGAAAGACGAGAGGCAUAUCUAAAAUUACCAGAAAUUUUGAACCAAAACAUGAGAGUAAUGACCAACAGCUGCGAAAACUUCGCAAUUUUCCAUUGUAUUCAUGGUUCAAAAGCCAAAAUCAAGGAGAAGUGAGCCAGAAAACCAUCAUAUACGACUCCGAUGGAGCUAUUACCAGUCAAAUAGUUCAGAUAAGUAUGCAAGUUCAUUAUCAAGAGGUAAAAGUUCAGUCCCCUUAGAAUUACAAUUUUAAACAGAGUGAGAUGACUUUAGCAAUAACAGCUUAAAAUCCACAGAAGCAGACCAUGUAAAAUAAACGAGACUAGACUGCUAGUUGUUCUAAACGUUGAUAAACUAUUUGUAGGAAACGCAGGCCAAAAGUUAUUGAGUUCUUCUAGCCAUAUAGACGGUGCUGAAGAAGCUUCAAAAUUCUGACCUCUGUUCGUGAAGCUAUUCUUCUAUCAAUCCUACAAAAACAAAGCAUAGAACAGAAUAUGAACAGGUUAGAAGAGUAUUAUGUUGUAAGGAGUAAAUGAAGAGCACCAAUAUUUUGGACCUGAUAAGAAAUGCUAAUGCCGCAGCUUUGAAAGAUAAUAAAUAGGACGAUAAAAAGGGAGAAGAGAAAAUUGUGAAAAUAACCACGAAAGGGAGACUUUUUUAGGUUUUCUCACGAGAAGGUUAAUCAGAGGGGGAGGUGAAGAGAAGGGGAGAUUGAUUGUAAAGCAAAUUAAGAAAGUGGUUAUUGAAGGCAAUCUUACUUGAUUGAAUUUGAUCCAAAGGUGAAAGUUGGUUAUUAAUCAACUUAUUUCUAGGAGUUGAAUGUGAGAAACUUUGGACCACUGGGAGUCGGGCCGCUGCUCUCAGGAGUGCAUCUUUCUUUUAACAGAGGAGAACCAUAAACCUGCAGAACUUUUAGUUUGGUGAGACUUCUCAUGGCAUCCUCAGAGGGUAGAUGUCGAAGCUCUUUGAAAAACCAUAAGUGCACGUCUUCAAGAGCCGCAAAGUUUCCGAACCAAUCUGGCAGAGCUUUUAUACCUCCAAAGUCAAGUAGCGUUAGUGACGUCAGAGUGGUCAAGUAUUGGAUCUGAUGUGGCAGGGACUCCAUGUGUGGCAACCCAUAUAAUUCUAAUUCACGGAGUGCGGAUGACGAAGAGGAGGAUAUCAAUCCAGACCAAUCAAAUUCAUUGUAAAUUAAAGAAUUUUCAUGAUCAUCACCGUCAUCUGAGAAGGGACCAAUUGUAAGAUCCCUUAAGCUGGUUAGGAAACCAAAUCCUUUGGGCGUCAUGCUUGUUUUCAGUUUGGGACACUUCCGUAAUUCCAGCUCCAUGAGAGAAGGCGUUUGUUGCAAAUCAAGCGGAAAGGAGAUAAGAUUGUCGCAACCAACCACUCGAAGCUUCUGGAGAGAGGCACAAGAGUGUAGCAUGUCACCUGGCAGAUUCGUCAACCCAUUGCAAUUAUAAAUCUGCAGCUCUUUAAGAGACGUAAAGUUUUGCAGGGGAAGGAGUUCUCUACAUCUGUUGCAGCGAUUAAAUUCCAAACACGCUAACUUGGGAGGUGUUGUUGUUGUUGGCAAAUCCAUUAACCAUCGAGGAAAUUGAUUGCCCAUAAAAUACCAAAUUACCAACUCCUCCAAAUUUUGGUGGGGUCGAAGGCCAUCUAACACAUCUUCGUCAUUGUAGUCGUCGCCUUCUCGAACAGGGGCCCACUUAAGUUCCAGCUCAAAUAGAUUAGCCUUUUCAAAUAGAUUUGCUUUUUCAGCUCCUUUUCUAUCCUUCACUAGUUCCAGAUUGCGUAUCCUCAAUUUGCCUUUGAGGUUCUUCAAGCUUCCAAGCUCUCCAAUUCGUCGACCCUUCUCUCGACCCACAUUAAAGAACUCUAGCGUCUGAAGGCAAGUCAGCCUUCCCAUCUCUAGCGGCAUUUGAAAUUCUUCAUUAUCACUUAUGUAAUAGUGGAGAUGUCUCAAGCUAAUCAAAUCGCACAUCCCCUUCGGAAGAUGUUUAACAUCUGAGUCAAUUAGCGUCAAUGUCUGCAGAUUAUAAAGCUUGCAAAGGAGUCCGGCAAAAUACUGAUUGAAGACCACUCAAGGUUAACGUACCGCAAAUGUAUCAGUUUGCCAAUUGAGACUGGUAGCUCUCGAGUUCUUGUACGAGACAAAUUCAAAACAUACAAGUUCUUCAACUUCAUUAACAUAUCACCAGAUAAGUCACCAUUUACGAUGAAUAAUGUAUGAAGCGAAGUUGAUAGACUCUCCAGAAGUUUUUCUCUGUCUUCUCUGCCACCAGAUGAGUCUAUUGCAAGGUAACGAAUCUGAUCACCUUUGUCUGCUACACGUGUAUCCCUAUCAUUAAUGAUUUUGGUAGACUUCGACAUUGACUCUGCAACGUCAUGGACCAGAUCAUGCAUCUUAUAACAUGUUCCCUGAUAAUUUCUUGUUUCUUCAAACAACGAACUUUGCAAUAAAAUUCUCAGAUAAUUCAUUCCAAUUUCCUCCAUCAUCAUUUGGCUGUUGAGAUCUGCUUGGAGGAAACCUUCUGCCAUCCAAAGUUCGAUGAGCAUAUUCCUUUCUAUCUCACUAUCCUUGGGAAAUAUAGAACAAUAUGCAAAACAUUUCUUAAUGUAUGGAGAUGGCAAAUUAUCAAAACUAAACUUCAGUAUUUGCAUCACACGAUCUCCAUCUCCACUCAAAAGCCUAUUCUCCAAAAUUGAUCGCCACUCCUCUUUUCUCUUUAAAGAUAAUAGACCUCCGAUUACACUUGCAGCCAAUGGUAGACCAUCACAUCUUUUGAUUACUCUCUUUUUAAUUGCUUUUAGUUCAUCAGUUUCUUCUUCCCCUCCAACUACUUUUUCUUUUAGGAUAGACCAACAAUGAUCAUCAGGUAGUUUUCUUAAUGGAUAGGCUUCAUUUUCCAUCAUCCUUAAACGAGUAGUGACAAGACACCAACUUCCAUUGGUUGGAUUGAGCCCCUUCAAGGUGGUGAAAAAGUCAUCCCACAAUGCCUCAUCAUCAUCCCACACAUCAUCAAGCACUAGGAAAUAUCUUUUUCCCCCUAGUUGAUUCCCAAUUUUUCCAACGACGACAUUCCUAUCAUCUACUUCAACCUUUUCUCCCGUCAAUUGCACUAAUAUGAGUUUGAAAAGCUCAACUAUUGGAACUUUUUUCGAUACACAAACCCAAAUCUUUUUGUUAAAGUGCGCAUCAAUUUGCUGCUUGUUGUAUAUCGAUUUAGCCAAAGUUGUUUUGCCUAGACCUCCCAUACCAAUUAUGGGAAGAACAGAAACAACCUUCUUAGACGGGCUCAACAAUAUCUUCACUAUAUUUGAUUCAUCAUCGGCUCUUCCAAUUAUUGGAACAAGAACAGAGUCAGUCUGCCGAUUUCUUGUGUCUCCAACAGCAGGAGCAGCAGGGAGGGCAGCCGUCAAGACUUCCCUACUGACCAGUCCCAAUCCAUGGGCGUCUUGAUAGAUGCCAUUCAACUUAAGUUUGAUGUCUCUGACCUUAGAAGCCAUUCUCCAACGAAAAGCAAGAUUAAUGUUAGAGAAGGAGAAGAAGCAGCAUACCUUGAGCUUGUGUCGGUUUCGGGACUCCACCUGUUGACGAAGGGAUUCAUAGUGGAGCUCAUCCAACACAUUGUCCGCCUCAUAAGCCACCUCCUCGAGACUCUUCAACCAUUCUUGCACUACCCGGUCCUGGUUUUGUUUUCUUUCCUCAGCAUCAGCCAAGAAAGCAUUGAUCCAGCGGAGAGUACGUGUCAUGCUGGCCACAUCCUUCUUGAAGCCAACUAACAUACCAAUCCUGUCAGUGGCAAGAGAUACUGCCGUCUCCAAGGCAACCUGAAUAGUGGCACUAAUGACGGGAUCGGCCAUUUUUUUUUUUUGAAUAACUUGGAUUCAGUCUUGAGAUCAAGAUGGUUUUUCAAAAUGGGAGGUUUUAGCAGCCAGAAAUUGGUAAUGUUACGAGUGGUUAAAAAGAGGAGAGCAUUGGUAUUUGGUCGCUUAAAAGUGCAGAGUUAUUCUUAACUUGGAUGCCUUCCUUGGCAACGGAAAUAUAUAUUCCUUGCUUGGCAUCUUCACUUUAAGUUUCUUGGGAAACUUGGAUGCUUUGAAAUGGAAAUUCCUGGCUUGGGAUUUUCACUUUAACUUUCUUGCUGGGGCCUUCAUCUUUAUUCCAAUUCCAUUGAGGGCUUCAUCUUUAUUCCAUAUUUCAUUCGUUAAUCCUUGAAAGAUGAACUAAUUAGAACAUAAUUUGUGUCUCAAUACAAAAAUCUAUUAGGCUUCUAAUUAUUUUGUAAUUCAGAUUCUGAUAUUGUUGAGCAUUGAGCCUUUUCAACUUUGCAUAAUCAAGAUGCAGAGUCCAAUAGCAAUAUUUCUACUAUGAAGAAGAAAUACAAAAGCCGUAGGAAAGUGGUUCCUAGGCCAAUAAGGCACUUAUAAAAGAGUUUAGAAAAUAUUCCUAAACUCAAAACAAGAGAGCCUAAAAUAUUUAACUGAAUGGGCUAGAUGACUCAAGAAGCUAAUAGCCCAUAUAACUCUCUUGAGUGGUGCGAUUGAAACCUUCAUAUGAGCCCCCUAUUUAUAGUUGUAUUUGGGAGGCUUUCCUUCUGCUUCAGGCGAUGUGGGAUGAGGAAAUUUUGCCACAGUCAAGGAUUGCGGCUGAAGAAUUGCGGCUCAACAAAUCUCCACCUUGGCAUAAUUUUGAGUCCCACCAUCGUCAAUAGUAAAAUCGCUCCACCUUCUCCACAUAAGACCCAAUGGGUCUAAAUCACAAAUAACGAACACCAACCAAGUCCAAGCACUGCUUGAACUUGUAAUUUGGAAGAGGCUUCGUAAACAUAUCGGCUGGAUUGUCCUUAGUAUUGAUUUUCUGAAUAAGGACUUUUCCCUCAGCAAUGAUAUCUCGAAUGAAGUGAUACUUCACAUCAAUAUGCUUCGUCCUCUCAUGAUACAUCUGAUCUUUAGUCAAGUGUAUGGCACUUUGACUAUCACAGUGAAUAUCAGUAACACCUUGAUAUAGACUUAACUCGCUAAAUAAACUCUUCAACCACAAGGCUUCUUUGAUUGCCUCGGUCACAGCCAUAUAUUCUGCUUCAGUAGUAGACAAAGCUAUGACAGGUUGUAGAGUAGCUUUCCAACUAACAGCACAACUGCCAAUGCAAAAUACAUAGCCUGAAAGUGAUCUUCUCCUGUCAAGAUCCCCAGCGUAGUCUGAGUCUACAAAACCAACCAAAGUGUUAUUAUUUCUUCCAAACUCCAAACAUACAUUUGAAGUACCUCGCAAGUAUCUGAGAAUCCACUUCACAGCCUGCCAAUGUGUUUUACCAGGGCAAGACAUAUAUCUGCUAACAACACUGACUGCUUGUGCAAUAUCUGGACGAGUACAAACCAUUGCAUACAUAAUACUGCCGACUGCACUGGAAUAAGGAACCCGUGCCAUAUAAUCUUCCUCUUCAUCUGAUUUUGGUGAUUGAGCAGCAGAUAGCCGAAAAUGGCUAGCAAGAGGAGUAGAUACUGGUUUAGCAUCUUUCAUGCCAAAACGCUCCAAGACUUUCUCAAGGUAAUUUUUCUGGGUCAAAAAUAACUUUCCUACUCCUCGAUCUCGAUUGAUAUCCAUGCCAAGAAUUUUCUUAGCUGCUCCUAAAUCUUUCAUUUCAAAUUCACUAUUUAACUGCAGUUUCAAGGUGUGAAUUUCUGACAAAUUCUUGGCAGCAAUGAGCAUGUCAUCAACAUAAAGCAGCAAAUAAAUGAAAGAACCAUCAUUUAACUUCCGGAAGUAAACACAGCUAUCAUACAUGCUCCUCAAAUAACCAUGACCCAACAUAAAGGAAUCAAACCUUUUAUACCAUUGUCUUGGAGACUGCUUCAAUCCAUAUAAGGAUUUCUUCAACAAGCAAACAUGGUCUUCCUUACCUUCAAUUUCAAAACCCUGGGGUUGUCUCAUAUAAAUUUGUUCUUCAAGUUCGCCAUGUAAGAAAGCUGUCUUAACGUCGAGCUGUUCUAACUCCAAAUUAUACAUGGCAACUAAAGCAAGCAAAACACGAAUAGAGCUAUGUUUAACAACAGGUGAGAAUAUAUCAUUAAAAUCAACACCUUGUACCUGACUAUAGCCCUUUGCAACUAAUCGUGCUUUAUACCUUGCAUUUUCAACCCCUGGAAUACCUUCCUUUUUCUUGAAGACCCACUUGCAACCAACAAUUUUCUUAGCUGACGGCGGCUUUACAAGAACCCAAGUUUCAUUCUGAUGAAGAGAUUCAAUUUCUUCAUUCAUCGCAAUCAACCACUUUGCAGAAUCAUCACAAGAAACUGCUUCUAAAUAGGUGGAAGGCUCACCAACUGCAUCAGUUUCUUCUGCAACAGACAAAGCAUAUGCAACUAAAUUUGCAUAUCUUUGUGGUGGUCGAAUUUCUCUCCUUGCUCUAUCUCUGGCUAUGGAAUACUCAUCUUCUUCUGAACUAUCUUCAACAGUAGAUUCAGGUGCAUCUACUGGCACUUGCUGAAUAGAAGAUUUGGAUUGAGAAGGACCAGAACUGCCAAUAUCAAGCUCCACUUGCUUCUGUGUACUAUCAAUAGUACAAGGACUAGAAGACUCCUUCUUGGAAGAUAACAUAGACAAUUCAUCAAAAGUAACAUCUCUACUGAUUACAAAUUUUGGGGAUUUGGGAUCAGGAUACCAUAAUCUGUAUCCUUUCACCCCAGAAGCAUACCCAAGAAAAAUGCACUUUUUAGCCCUAGGCUCCAAUUUUCCAUCAUUCACGUGCAUGUAUGCUGGACACCCAAAAACUUUUAAAUUGGAGUAAUCAGCAGGAGUACCUGACCAAACUUCCUCAGGAGUUUUGAAAUCAAGAGAUGCAGAAGGAGAACGGUUGACAAUAUAACAGGCCAUAUUGAUCGCCUCUGCCCAAAAGUCGUUUGUCAACCCUGCAUUGAAGAUCAUACAUCUUGCUCUCUCCAAAAGCGUUCUGUUCAUACGUUCGGCCACACCAUUUUGUUGAGGCGUCAUCCUGACGGUGUGAUGCCGAGCAAUUCCUUCAUUCUUACAAAAUUCAUUAAAUUCACCUUCACAAAAUUCCAUGCCAUUAUCUGUUCUCAACCGCUUAACAUGUUUUCCUGUUUGUUUCUCAAUCAAAACUUUCCAUUGCUUGAAAGUUAAGAAAACAUCAUUUUUAUGCUUAAGAAAAUAGACCCAAACUUUCCUUGAGUAAUCAUCAAUGAAAGUCAACAUGUACCUGGCACCACCUUUUGAAGGAGCACGAGAAGGACCCCAUAGAUCUGAAUGAAUGUAAUCAAGAGUACCUUUUGUCUUGUGAAUUGCUGGUGAACUGAAGCUGACUCUUUUCUGCUUCCCAAAAAUACAAUGUUCACAGAAUUCCAAUGGACCGGUACUUUGUCCACACAGAAGUCCUCUUUUGCUCAGUAUGCCCAAGCUUUUUUCGCUCAUAUGCCCCAAACGCAUAUGCCAUAAUUUGGUGAUGUCUGUAUCUGACAAAGAUGAUGUUGAAACAGCAGCAGCACCUGUAACAGUAGAUCCUUGCAAAAUAUACAAAGUACCAGAUCUGUGUGCCUUCAUAACAACAAGAGCUCCUCGAGUGAUUUUGAGAACUCCAUCUCCACCUGAAUACCUGCACCCGAUAGACUCAAGAGUGCCCAAAGAGAUGAGAUUUUUCUUCAAAUCUGGAACAUGUCUAACAUUUGUGAGCGUCCUCACAAUACCAUCGUACAUUUUAAUCCGGAUUGUGCCUUUGCCAACAACUUUACAAACAGCGUUGUUGCCCAUUAAGACAACUCCACCUUCAGUUGAUUCAUAUGUUGAAAACCAGUCCCUAUUGGGACACAUAUGAUAUGAACAACCCGAAUCUAAAAUCCACUCAUUGUUAGACCUAAAAUUAUUUUCCGUUGCACAGAAAAUAGUUCCAUCAUUCUCAUCAACGGCAAUACUAGCCUCGGUGGUUUCACUCCUUUUCUCCUUUUGCUUUUCUUUAUUUUUCAAUUUAAAGCAAUCAGAGAUAAUAUGGCCCUUCUUUUUACAAUAGUUGCACACCACAUUUUUAUGUCUGGACUUAGAUCUACUUCUAUUUUCUGUGUUUCUCCUUUCAGAUCUACCCCGAACAAACAAGCCAUCGGCUUGACUCCCACUAGUUUCCCCAAUAAUAUCCCUAUCUAUCUGCUCUUUAGAUUUUAACGCAGAUUUAAUUUCCCGAUACGAAAUUGUUUCCUUUCCAUAUAUCAUAGUAUCACGGAAAUGCUUAAAGGAUUGGGGAAGGGAACAUAAAAGUAAUAGGGCCUGAUCUUCAUCAUCAAUUUUCGAAUCUAUAUUCUCCAAAUCCAUAAUAAUGGAAUCAAAUUUAUCAAGAUGGGAGAGUAUAGAUGUACCUUCAGACAUCCGAAGCAUAUACAAACUCUGCUUCAAAUAUAGCCGAUUCUCGACUGUCUUCUUCAUAUACAAGGCUUUCAAUUUAUCCCACAUAGCCUUGGCCGAAGUCUCCGUUGCUACCUCACGCAAUACCUCAUCGGAGAGAUUUAGGAUAAUACUGGAUCUUGCCUUCUUAUCCAUCUCAGCAAAAUUUGCAUCUGUCACAUCUUCUGGCUUUUUCUCAAUUCCUUGAAUUGCCAAAUCAACUCCGUCUUGAACAAGAAUGGCCUCCAUCUUGAGCUGCCACAUGCCGAAGUUGACAUUCCUGUCGAAUUUCUCGACAACCGUCUUUGUUAUCGUCAUUGUUGCCACAAAAUCUGUAACUUGAAAUUUGUCUCAAAAAAAAAACUGGCCAAACAAAUAUGCAAGUCUCGUGAGCGGGCCCCACAGGGUGAGCGGACCCUAAGCGGGCCCCACGGGGAUGAACGGACCCCACAAGGUGAGCGGGCCCCACGGAUAAACGGACCCCACAGGAUGAGUGGGCCCCACAGGAUGGACGGGCCCCACCAGAAUGAACCUGUCUUGCAAAAUAUAACAACCAGCUCUGAUACCAGUUUGUUAGGACCGGGCCAGGAAAUAGAUAAACUCAAGUUAGAACAAAGUAGGCGAUAUAACCGACCAUAUAAUAGAUAGGCGGUAGAUACCGGCCAUAUAAUAAUUAGGCGGUAAAACCGACCAUAUAAAGACGGAUAACAAAGCAAAUAAAAGACACAGAAGAUUUACGUGGUUCGGUCAAAUUGACCUACGUCCACGGGCGAGGGAGAAGCAAUAUUUCUACUAUGAAGAAGAAAUACAAAAGCCGUAGGAAAGUGGUUCCUAGGCCAAAAGGCACUUAUAAAAGGUUUAGGAAAUAUUCCUAAACACAAUACAAGAGAGCCUAAAAUAUUUGACUAAAUGGGCUAGAUGACUCAAGAAACUAAUAGCCCAUAUAACUCUCUUGAGUGGUGCGAAUUGAAACCUUCAUAUGAGCCCCCUAUUUAUAGUUGUAUUUGGGAGGCUUUCCUUCUGCUUCAGGCGAUGUGGGAUGAGGAAAUUCUGCCACAGUCAAGGAUUGCGGCUGAAGAAUUGCGGCUCAACAAAUCUCCACCUUGGCAUAAUUUUGAAUCCCAUCAUCGUCAAUAGUAAAAUCGCUCCACCUUCUCCACAUAAGACCCAAUGGGUCUAAAUCACAAACAACGAACACCACUGUUUAUGCAGCCUGACUUGAAGCCCCAAUUUGUAACGUAGAGAGAUUCACUCAGAAAAAGAUCAGCUUCCCAAUCUAUUCUCGCAAGUAGAAAAAAACCAAUAUUCAGCAACCAAAAAAUAAAGAGAAAACUUGGAAAGAACAUGUGCAUUAUAUUCCUUGCUUGUGUUAAUACCUUGAAAUGUGGAUGAACUUUGGCAAAGAAUAACUUGGAAUGUGGAUUUGCUUCAAACUUAUAUUCUGAAAUGAAGUUCGGCAAUAGAGGCCUAAACAAUUAUUCAGCCUUACUGCUUUAGAAAAUUUAUCUAAAAAAAUCAACCACAGAGCGAUAGUGAUUCAUAGAUUGAUUAUCACAUAAACAAACAAACUCAUGCUUGUAAUGUGCACCUGAUUGAAAUGACCCAGGACACAACAGCAUUGAUGUACUAAAAUUCUUUGUUAAUUUUUGCCUGUCAAGAUGAAAAUUCACCAUUCGUCAUUUUGUGGGUGGUUGCUUAAUGCGUUACAUAUUUGGCCAGGAAUGAACAACUCAAAGUCAUCUAUUGUAGCAAGUAGAAAAAAACCAAACUUCAGCAACCAAUAAAUAAAGAGAAAAACUAGGAAAGAACACGUGCAUUGCAUGUGUACAUUGUUGAGGAAAACUCGUUUAACUUUUAAAUUUAUGUAAUACGACUGGAAGCUACAAAAAAUUCAAAACUUGCAAACUUCCUAAGUUGCUUUUCAAUUAGGCAAACUACUUAAUGGAUGAUUAAAAGUUUUUGUUUUCAUUGUUUCCUAUCUUAGUUUCUUUUGGAAUUGUUCAUAAUCUUUUGUAAUGUUUAUCUUUUGUUUAUAGUAUAGUUUAGUCGUGGAUAACAUGAGUCAAAGAAAUAAAUUGCUUUUAAUGAGAAUAUAAUACAAUAGUGAUUCACUAUCCAUAUGAAAGAGAAUCAGCUAGAACAUUUUUUGGUAUAAUAUGAUUCCAAAUAUUGCAUGGGAAGCGUAAACUUCUUUUUAUCUAAUUUGUUUCAACUUCAUACUUUUCCUUCUUUUUUUAGUUUAUAUUGACAAUUACUUGAUGAAGCACAUUCAAAUACAUAAAAACAAGUGAUUCAAUGUUGGUUUCAUUGCUCAAAGGAAAAACUUUUAGUAUUUUUUUGUUUUUUCAAAGGAAAAAAUUUGACCGAUGAUUAAGAACAUAGUGCUCAACCAAAGUCCUAACUAACUAAAUAAAAAAAUAGUAGAUUGUGAUGCUUAAUAAUUCAAGAGAUUGAUGAACAAAAUUCAAGAAGACCUUUCUGUUUAAGUGCAAGUAUAGAAGAGAGAGAAAUGCCAAAUUGCAAGUUAAGCUUAUUCUUUUGCCAUUUCAAUCAAGAAUGUCAUUUCCAGCCUUCAAAAGUAAAGAUUUACUCACAUUGACUAAAAUGAAAAAAAAAAAUUGUGUCACUAAUUUUCAUUUUUUAUAAAUUUGCACAAACUAUCAUAAUUAAAAUUUAAUAAACCUAACAAAAACUUUAAAUGAUAGUCAUAUACAAAUCUCCAAGACUGUUUGCCAAGAUCGAAAUAGUGAGGGGUAGAUCUCAACACUCAAAUAAUGAGACAUUGUAUUGUAACUUCAAAUCACAUUUUUGGAAUUUGGCAUAUCUAUAAAACAUUGUCUAAGGUAUAAUAGUGAGACCUAAAAUAUUUGUUGUUAGAAUAUAAUCUAGCUAAUCCUUAUUUUUGGGACUAUGUUGUUUAAUACUUUUUUAGGUUAUGUUAUUUAAACGUUGGUUGCCAGGGAAUCAUUAAUGUUUCUAACUUUCAUUAACUUGUACUAAUAUUCUUUAGAAUUGCUUGCGGUUUGUUUUUUUUUUUUUUUUUGUGAUUAUGAUGAGAAUAAGCAUUUGACUCCAAAUAUAACUUAAAAUUUUCAUUGGCACCAGCUUCUUGCACUUUUUUCUUUCUUCUUUAUCUAAAAUGCUUAAAAAGGAUAAAAAAUUGAAAGUUACCUAACACGAAAGAUAACUUGGAAACCGUUGAUGCUCAAGAAAAACCUUUAAAAUUUAAAUAACUUGUAAACUAAUAUUAAGUGCUUAAAUUUCAAAUCUCUAAAAUUUCAGACAAGGUUUGAAAGUAAGAGGAAAGAGAAUGAUUGGUCUAAUUUUUACUUUUACACGGUUAGAGAUCCUUAAUUGUAAAAUUUGUCCUAAAUGUGCAUCAUAUUCAAGAUCACUUGCAAACAUAAUGAAUAAUUAGAGAAGAUUAUUCACAAGUUUAGAAAAUUUUAUAUUUAUAUAAAUUUUUUAACCUUUAGAAUAAUAACCAAUUAGAAUAGUAGACUAUCUACAAAGCAUUUAAUUUUAGUCAUGGUAAGAUUGAUGAAGGUUUGCAUCUUCAUCUUGGAUUGUUCCUUCUUUCUUAUUUCUUCUUUGACUCACAUAUAUAUAUAUAUUUUGGAUUUCACAUGCACUUAUGCCCAUUGCUAAAAGUUUUGUUCCAUACUUUCAAAAUAACUCAUAAUCCAGUAUAUCCUUAUUUUAACUCUUUGAGAUACUAGUACCAUUUAAAGUUUUCUCAUUCUCAUAUUCUCCGGUUCUUCUUGCCAAUAGUCAUAUAGCUUGUUUUAGAUAGUUAUGAUUUUCAUUAUGCUAAAGUUUACUAUAUAGGUUGCUUACAUAAACAAAUUAAGAAGUUUGAUGAAUUUUUUUGUAUCCUACAUUAACUAAUGUAAAAGGCUUUCAUCUUUCAUGGAUGCAAUUUGUUUUGUCAGUUUUAAAUCUUGCAGAUUUGUUUGCAUUAAUAAAUAAAUGAACAUGGUUCCUUUUUCUAUAUAGAGCUCUAACAUUGUCGUCUAGAUUAUUAUGGUUUAAAUCAUAUUCACACAUGUAUUUAAUGUAUUUUACAACUUAGUUAUAGCUUUUGAAAUUUUGCUAUAGACUUUUGUAGGUAUGGCAUAGUGAUUCCUAUUUAUUAUACAUCACGAUUUUCAAUGAAAUUUUAUUAUGAUUCCUAUUUUCUUCCUUUCUAUGGGAAAAAUUAUCUAAGGGAAGAAAAAUGUUGAUUCUUUGAAUAGAGAAAAUUAUAUACUAAAAGAUACAUUAUUCGAGAUAAGGAAUUGAUCUGUAAACAAAAACUAUCUCAAUUGACAUGUUAAAGUGAAGAUUUACUAUAAUCAUUUGAAAGUAAUCUACCAUAUAAUAGUCUCAUUUGACAUAACAAUUUUUUUAGCAUGCCAAUAUGAAAAAUGUAACGUAAAUAGACUAUAUGUUUAGUUACUUUUCCUUGGUUUUGUUGCUUAUUGUGAUAUUUGGAAGGAAAAAAAAUAGGGUUAUUAUCGCUUUAUCACCUUCAACUAUAUCACUACUAUCAGUUUACCCCCUAACGUUAUCUUUUAGUCACUUCACCCCUAUAAGUGAUAGGUUGCAAUUUUAUUAUUUAUUUUAUUAUUAAUUUCCCCUAUUACCUGACCUGAUGUGGAUUAAUUAUUAGAUUCUACUCAUUUUUCGUAAUUUACAUUUAUUUCAGGGAGUAGAACGAAAAUAUCACAACCAAAGCUAAUUUGACAGUCAUCGGGAAAGAAUUCAAAUGGAAGGCAUUCAGGGGCAUUUUGGAACAAGGAGACACAAGUCCGUUUUGGUAAUUUGGCCGAGGACAGCAAAAGAAAAAAAAAAAAAAGAAAGCAAGCUUGGGCAAUCUUCGUGGGCCUACGGAUUGGAGCCGCCGCACAGAAGUAGUAUGCGUUAGAUAGGAACUAGAAGUUGCAGAGGAUUAGCACUCCUUUAAUUUUGGACUUUUCCUUUUUGCUUUUGAAUAGUUUUCUUCUUCGUAUGGAGGACAAAAGGGGAGGCCAUUGAUCACUUUCCGUAGCGUUGCUUUUUUUCCUUUGACUUCCCAGCGAAUUAACUCCUCUUGAUAGGAGACAAUGUCUGUGAAUAGUAUUUCUGAAUUCUCGCGUGGGUUAUGAACUAAAUCCCCUUUUUCUAGUCAAGAAACAACGGAAGUUUUGGUUCAUCUAAAAAUUGUGAGAUCGAUUUAAUUUUAUCUUUUCCUUUUAUUUAUUGGUAUUCGCAUAUUCUUUGAUCACAGCGCUUACGAUUGUUCAAUUAAUUGAUUUUCUUGGAUCCGGAUAAUUAGUUAAUUGGGUAGUCUAUUGUCAAUUGAGACAUUAAAUCCGUAAUUGUUUAAUUGCCUUGAAAUAGUGACAACUGGCAUGAUUGGAUUUGCGUCAGGAGAAUACGUGGGCUAACCUAAAAUAACCCCGGUAGUGCGUUAUUUGGUUAGAAUAGGGCUCCUCUAAUACGUAAGACAAUUGGGGAAUUAAAUCUUAUGGGCGUACCUAGGAUUAUUUCUCAAUUAGAGUAGUGAUUAACGGGCGUACCUUAAUCACCGACACAGUAAGGAGAGGUUGACUGUUAUCGCUUGUUUGGCAGUUAUAACCUAUUUAUUGGUAAAUAAUUGGAAUUGGUUUUGCAUCGAUGAUCAAUUAGGUGAACCAUUGCUGAAGUUAUUUCUUGGUUAGAUCCUUAAUUAUCACCCAUUUGAUUUUAGUAAUUUGUUAUUUAAUUUUUAAUAGCUUCUUAGAUUUUAUUUGAAUUUCUUUGAUUGUCACCUUCUGCACAAAAACACCCCCUUUGUUACUGUGAGUUUGAAAAGAAACAGUUACACCCAGUCUCUGUGGAUUCAACCCUGCUUACCACUAGUUACAAAAAUUAACUUUAGUUGAACAUGUUUUUAUUAUUGCACAAGGUGACAACCUGUCAAUAAGUAAUUCAAUUUAACAUAUUAAGAAAUUUUGGGCAAAAUACCCUUUUAUUCUAUAGCAUUACUAAAUUAUUAUUAUUACUUUAUUCCUUUAGAUCAUAGUGAUAUAAUCGCUUUAAUUCCUAACAUUAUUUUCUAGGCAUUUUACUUCAUCGUUAAUCUAAUUAGUAUGGUCAAAAAAUUUUAAAUAUAUUGACUAUUUUAUAUAUAUAAUUAAAAAUAAAAAAUUUGAAAUGAUUAUUCUUCUUUUUUUCACUUUAAAAGAUCCAAAAUAUAAAAAAUAAAAGGAUUUUUUCAAAUUUCUUUUUUCACACUUAUUAAUAUUAGGAAAAGAAAAAGAGAUGGGAAAGAAGGAGACAAAAAAUUAGAUUUUGCAAAGAAAAUAAUAAAGAAAAGUCUAAUAUUAUCUUAUUAAUUUAAGGUUGUUGGAAUUAGAAUUGAAAUCUAGUGGUAAACAUUAAAGUAAAACAAUUUUAAAACAAUAAAAGUAUUUAAUUCUUUCUUAUUUGUAUUUAAAAAUAAAGAAUUGAGCUAUCUCUCUUCUCCUCCCAAUCUUUCUAUUUGUUUUAAUAUUAAUAAGAUUGGCAAGAAGAAAGAGAUCAAUACUUUGAAUUUUUUUCUUGAUACUAAAGAUGAAAAGAGCCACUUUAAAAUUUUUAUUGUUUUUAUUAUACAAAGAGGAGAGUACUUUCUCUAAAAAUUUUUAACUUGCUAAGUUAGUUUAAUGGUGAGAUAAAUUGCCUAAAAAAUAACUCUAUGGAGUAAAUUGAUAAUGAGACUAUAGUUUAUGAGAGUAAAGUGAUAAUAACUUUCAGGGCUAAACUUGUUUUUUUACUUUAAUUAACAAACUCCGUUAAGUUUGACCGUUAGUUUUGGGCGUAAAGUGACUAAAAAAUAAUAUUAAAGGAAAAUUUGAUAAUGGCAUCAAACGUUAACAGGGUUAAGUGAUAAUAAUCCAAAAAAGUAUGACAAGCUUUAGUGCAAAGCAAACGUGCCUAGCUUAUAUGCCUUAAUUAGAUCGUGGAUUCCUGUUUAAAAUAGUAAAUGGGUACAAUUUUGUGCGAAUCUUGGUAAAUGAGUUUAAUGGUCCCUCCAGUCCUAUUGAAUAUAUUUUGUUCCUCAACUUCUAAAAGUAUUAUCAGGUCUCAAAAUGUAUAAAUUUAGUUCUAAUUGAUCCCACAAGCAAAAUUCAAUUAAGACAAAUUUUAUAUCUUUCCACUAAAUAACAUUUAGUUUGAUGUUUCUUAGAUGCCUUCCACAUUUAUAAAAGCAUUAAAAUCACAGUAGAAAUGGCAUUGGUUUAUGAACUUUGGUUUUCACAAAAAUUGAACUAACCUUGCAAUUUCACAAUAUUUCUUUCUCAAGCAAAACAGUUCUUUAAAAAUUAAGCUGUCUCCUUCUAUUGAACCCAUUUUUCCUAUAUUCUCCACUGGGUAUCUAACAUUCUAGAGUGUUAAAAAGCUGAUUUAGAACUUUAAAAUUAAGGUGGGCUAGUAAAGCUGAAAAUUAAGGUACCAAAAUUGGCAUACAUUUUUUAUUGGGUAAAAAAGAUGCAUCAUAUAGAGAAUAGUUUAUUAGCUACCAAUAUUAUUAAAAUGUGUCUGAAAUAGUUAAAUAACCAGGGAUAAGUAGUCAUACUCCAAUCUAGAUCCAUUUGCUAUUCAAACCAUCCCUAAAUUUUUGGAACCUCAAGGUUCAAUAUUUCUAAUCUAGUUCCUUAGUCUUUGACGUGUCUUUAUAAAUAUAAUUGGCAUUAAAUAGUAUGAAGUGUGUUUAUCCAAAUCAUUAAACCAAUAGGGACUGGUAGAAUGAAGAUGUUAUCCUUUAUGCCUUAGAGUUCUUGUAAGUGUUGACAAAAUUCUCUAAAUUAGUAGUCUCUUGAGAUUUUAAUAAUAAACAUUCAUGUGACUACUACGUAGUUAUAUUGCUAAAUACUAAAUUCUAAUAGUCAAAAAGAGACAGAAAAGCAAAACCCAUUAUCCAAUUAAACAAAGAAUCCAACUAUUCAACGAAUCAUGUAAAGGAAAAAAGUUUCUGCCAUACAACUAACAAGGUAAAGAAACAACUUGCAAAGUUAAGUUAUAAAAUAUGGGAUCUCUUUUGAUAUGCUGCAUAAUAAUUAAGUUUUAAAUUUAGAAAUCUUAUUGUACGUCGUGUAGGGGUGAGCAGAUUCGGUUCGUACCGAAUUCAUAACUGAUUUCAAAUUCAAUUCAGUAAUUUGAAAUCGGAUAUUUGGUAAUUCGGUACCAAUUCGGUGCAUACCGAAUUCACCGAAUUCUAAUAUGGUAUAAAAUAGGUAAUGGGAUUAUGAAUUUGGUAAUAACCGAUUUCGAAUUCAAAGUUCGAUAAUUGAAAUCGGGUACCGCAUUACCGCAUUCGAAUACCAAAUUGAUAUAUAAAAUUAUAUAAUAUAUAGAUAAAUGCUAUUUAGUAUUAGUAUAUACUACUAAUACUUUAUUAUAUUAUAUAGGUAAAUGCUAUUAAUAAUAAUUAGUAUAUGGUAUUAUCAUCAUAUCAUGUACUUAUAUUACUAAUAAUAUAUAAUAAUGUACAAUAUAUUUAUAUUAUUUUAGUAUUUAUUAAUUGUUAUAUGACUACAAUAAUGCAUAGUAAUACAUUACAAGAUAAGAUAACUAUAAUACUUAUUAUUUUAUACAUGAGUAACAUACUAACAUGACUAGAAUUAGAUAAUAAUUAAUACAUAUAUGUAUAAUACUAAAUAUUAAACAAUAAACAUAAUUAGUAAUUAGAAUUUAGAUAUUGGUAAUUUGAUGCAUCAUUCAUGUUUGAAUUAUUGAAUAUUUGAAUGCGUAAUCUAUAACUUGCAAGUAUUAGUGUACUCUAAAUUUACAUUACAUAUUCACUAAUCUUAAGGCUUUAAGUAUAGAUAAGACAAUUAAGCAGUGUAAGUGAAUGUAUAUGAAUUGCAAAUCAAUGUAUUAGUGUAUUGACUUUCACAAUAACAUAUGUAAGUAAAUAAGUUUAAUUUUGAUUUAAAAUAAAUUAUAAGUUUGUAACUAACAUAACUUAUCACUAAUCAUUGUAAUUUGUAAGUUUGUAACUAAUAUUACUUAUUAUUAAUCAUUGUAAAUUAUAAAUUCAUAAAUUAUUACUAAUCAUUGUACAGUCUAAGGUUUAUUCUAGUUUAAAUUAAUCACUUUUUAUAUGUUCCUUAAAUCAUAGACUAAGGAUUGUAGGUAUAAGUGAUCAAAUAAGUUAAAAUUCAUAUUCUCUAUUUACUAAUCUUAAGGCUUUAAGUAUAGACAAAAUAACUAAGCAGUGUAAGUGAAUGCAUGUGAGUUGCAAAUCAAGUAAAUAAGUUUUAUUUUGAUUUGAAAUAAAUUAUAAGUUUGUAACUAAUGUAACUUAUCACUAAUCAUUGAUUCAUUGUAAUUUGUAAGUUUGCAACUAAUAUUACUUAUUAUUAAUCAUUGUAAAUUAUAAAUUCAUUAUAACUACUAACUAAAUUAGUUUAAAUUAAUCACUUUUUAUGUGUUUCUUAAAUCAUAGACCAAGGAUUUUAGGUAUAAGUGACCAAAUAAAUGCCAAUUAAACCACAAAAUGAUUUGAACAUAAGUAAUGUGUUCAAUUAUGAAUAAAUUUGGGGAUCAAAUCAAUAAUAAUUUUUAAAUCAUUAAGGAGCAUAAUGAAUGUAUUAUAAUUUAGGAGCCCCAAUUUAUAAAUUAAAAAUUACAAAAUCACUUCAUUUGGGAAAAGUCGGAUUUCAUCUUUAGUUGAUGAAAAGUGAGAAAACAACCAUUGCAAAUUUGCAAUAUUGCAUAGUGCCGUGAAUUCGGUUAGACCGAAUUCAUUACCGUUUUCGAAUUUGAAAUCGGGUACCGCAUGAAUUAGGUAAUGCCCAAUUCGAAAUUGAAAACGGUUUAGAUUUCUAUAAGUGUAAUAACCGAAAAAACCAAAUUCAGCGCACCGAUUUACCGCAUUUGCACCGAAUGCUCACCUCUAACGUCGUGUGCGUGUUGCUACCAAUAUGUAUAAAUUAAUCAUAAUUCAUCUUGCGUGUCUUGGUAGGGCCUAGAAGGACAAAUUGCAAAAUAACGCGUUGUCAAAGAAAGCAAUAAGUUCAACAUCAUGAGUUAAGAGUUGUAACAAAUUUUCUCACGGACGAUCUUUCAAAAUUUGAAACUAAAAAAAAUUUGUCAAUCCUAUAACAAUGAGUAAUUCCUGAUUCUGGAGCCAAAACAACCAUAUAAUAAUUAUGUGCCAUCUGUUGAAUUCAAGGUCAACCAAUAUUUUAUAUUUUAUGUUCUGGUAUGUCAGUUUUAGAUUAGAAUGAAUCUCAAAAAAACUAACUCUCUAUGGAAAUUUUAUAACUUAACAGAAAGGAGAUAUGAACAUGAUGCUAUGGAGAUGAAUUCUUUGGAGAGAGACUCAACACAGCACAUGAAGAGCAACUGAAGUGAUUUGCUUAUAUGGGACUUCUUCUUUCACUGAUUUCUUGAUUUUUUUAAUGUUUAUUUGUGCUGAAAAAAUAGAGAAAAUAGAGAAGCCCUGUAUGCUUCACUUAUGCUAGUUGAGGCAGUGAAAGAAAUGCGGCAAAAGGUUGCUCGUAGGCAAGGACCCGAAAGAUGUUGUUUUUUGCUCAAAAGAUGAGAAGUAUGAAUUUGGUAAUUGUUGGUAUAAUAUGUUUUGGAAGUGGUAUGCUUAGGAAGGGUUAGAAAGAUCAGAAUCAUUUGUUUAAUGAGAUUAGAUUAGAAAGAUUGUUUCGUGGGACUACAGAAAACAUACGACAGAUAAUUAUAAUCUCUCGCAAUCAUUUGUUUAGGAAGAUUGUAACCAUGUACGACUCAAACAGAAGCAUUAGAAAAAUUAGAUUAGAUGAGCAGUAUGAGAAAGGGUAUUUUAAGCAUUACAAAAAAAAAAAAAAGAAGAAGGAAGAAAUACCAUUAUACAAGAUUUUGGUCCUAAUGUUUAGUACCUGUGCAGCUCUAGUCCUUAAAGUUUUGCCAAAAACAAAUUUAGUCCUCAAUGUUUAGCACAUGCACUGUUGUAGUCCCUAAAGUUUUUAUAAGAACAACUCUAGUCUCCAAUGUAUCCAAUAUAAAUUAGAUUUAGAUAACUGAAUAUUUUUCAAUUACUAACAGAAUUUAUUCAUGUGUACAUUAUAUUAAGUAUAAAAAUAAAGAAAAAAUAGUGGCUAACUUUAAACUACAAUAUUAAGGACUAAUAACUCAUGUGCUAACUAAUUAAUUGGUAAAAAAAUUGUUCAAGUACAAAAUUCAAACUAGUCAGAGCAUUUAAUUCAUCAAUUUAGAACUCAUUUUCUCUCUCUAUCCUUACUUACCCUAAGAAAAAAAAAAAAGCCCCAACACUUGGUUUUUGUGCAUAAUUAAACAAAUUUCCUUUUUUCCUGUUUUCUGGGUUAAUUAAUAACUCACGUUUCAUCACGUGAGUUGCUCUUACUAUUUAAGGUUAUCCAUGUUGGAAAAUUGGCUAUAUUCAUUGUAGAGUGAAUGAGAAAAUUGUUCUCAUAAUGGCACUCUUGAAAGAAUCAAAGGAUAAUUAUCUAUUCAUGUACAUAGGAUUCAUGUAUAUUAUUCAUGAUAGGAUACAUGUACUUGAUACAUGAUUUUAUCGUUAUCUUAUUGAGAUACGUGUAUGUACAUGAAUAUGGUACUUUGAUCAACGUAAAGAUAAUUAUCUGGAUUUUAACUCUUGUUGCCAAUUUCGAACAGUCACCCUAAGCUAGCAUCUAUAAAUAUCUCCUUUUAUUUCAAAAGCAAGGGCGCUCUCUCUCUCUCUUUUUCCUUUUUGCAUCUUCAUAUUUUAUAGUGUUCCAUAUUGCUCUAGUUCGAGUUCGCUGUGGUGAAUAAAGUUUGGUGCUGACAUAUUCACCUUUAAUCCGUUGUAUCCUGGGAGACAGACGCCUACUCAACCUCGAGCACUCUACCUGGAGGGGGCGAAUCUGUUUUAAGGAAAUUGUGCUCACAAGCCACGGAUUGUUACUAUUGUUAUUUUUCUAUCUUUACUUUCUUUCUAGGUUGUAUUUAUUCUUCUCUUUUGUAUCAGCCUACUUUAUUAUUUCACUAACAAUCUUAAAACAGAUCCGUUCUCAAUGGCUGACAAUACAGGAAGAGAAACCAACACAUCUACUGUUGAUGCCUCUGCCUCUGGCACAAUUGUGAAACAACCUGAAGGGAAGAUUACUCCUAUGGUUUCUACCAACCAUAGUGAGAAACCUGAGAAGUUCCAUGGCCUAAACUUCAAGACAUGGCAACAAAAGAUGUUGUUCUAUUUGACAACAUUGAAUCUCUCGAGAUUCUUAAGUGAGGAUGCUCCAAAGCUGUCUGAAGGCUUAACUGAUGCACAAGCUGUCAGUGCUAUUGAUGCUUGGAAGCACUCCGAUUUCCUUUGUCGAAAUUAUGUCAUGAACUGCUUGCAUGACUCGCUGUAUAACGUGUAUCAAAUACACAAGACGGCGAAGGCACUGUGGGAAUCCUUAGAUCGGAAAUAUAAAACCGAAGAUGCCGGAGCAAAGAAAUUUGUCGUUGGAAAAUUUCUAGACUAUAAAAUGGUGGAUUCCAAAACUGUUAUCAGUCAAGUGCAAGAAAUUCAGAUUAUCUUGCAUGAGAUUCUUGCUGAAGGCAUGCUUUUGAGUGAAACCUUUCAAGUGGCUGCUGUUAUUGAGAAGCUACCUCCUGGGUGGAAGGAUUUCAAGAACUAUCUCAAGCACAAGCGCAAAGAGAUGAGUAUGGAGGACCUUAUCGUUAGACUUCGAAUUGAAGAAGACAACAGGGGUUCUGAUUGCAAGGCAACAACUUAUGUUGAUGCUAAAGCAAAUUUUGUGGAGUAUAAGCAAGGGCAAAACUCCAAAGGCAAAAAGCCAACUCGAAAUCUUGGGGCAAAAGGGAAAAUCUCUAAGCAGAAAUUCCAAGGGAAGUGCUUCAACUGUGACAAAAAAGGUCACAAGUCCACUGAAUGUAAGCUUCCAAAGAAGAAGAAGCAUGAAGCAAAUUUGCUUGAUAGAAUCGAGGGAGACAUGGAAAACAUGAACCUGACUGCUAUGGUUUCUGAAGUAAAUUUGAUAGGGUCAAAUCCGAAAGAAUGGUGGAUUGACACUGGAGCUACAAGACAUGUUUGCACAAACAAAGACUUGUUCACUACCUUCGAAAAGGUUGAAGGUGAAAAAAUGUUCAUGGGGAACUCUGCCUCAUCUGCUAUUGAAGGUCAAGGGAAGGUGUUACUAAAGAUGACUUCUGGCAAAACAUUGACUUUGAACGAUGUUCUGUAUGUGCCAGAAAUCCGCAAGAACCUUGUUUCUGGAUCGUUGCUGAACAAGCAUGGCUUUCGCAUGGUUUUUGAAUCGGAUAAAGUUAUAUUAUCCAAAUCUGGGAUGUAUGUAGGGAAAGGAUAUACAACCGAUGGGUUGUUCAAAUUGAAUGUAAUGACUAUUGUGAAUAAUAAGAAUAAGUCUUCUGCUUAUUUGCUUGAGUCUUCCAAUUUAUGGCAUGGUAGACUAGGUCAUGUUAAUUAUGAUACUUUGCGUAGACUAAUUAACUUGGAUCAUAUUCCUUCCUUUCACAUCAAUUCAAACCAUAAAUGCGAGAUUUGCGUAGAAGCAAAAUUAACAAGGUCAUCUUUUCAAUCAAUUGAAAGAAACACCGAACCCCUUGAAUUGAUUCACACAGAUGUCUGUGAUUUGAAAUUUGUUCAAACAAGAGGUGGUAAUAAAUAUUUUAUCACUUUCAUUGAUGAUUGCACAAAAUACUGUUAUGUGUAUUUGCUCAAAAGUAAAGAUGAAGCCUUGGAAAAAUUCAUUCUCUACAAGAAUGAAGUUGAAAAUCAACUUAACCGGAGAAUUAAAAGGUUAAGAAGUGAUAGAGGUGGUGAAUAUGAAACACCUAUUGGUGGUUACUGUGCAAAAUAUGGAAUUGUUCAUGAAGUAACUGCACCUUACUCACCACAAUCGAAUGGUGUUGCUGAACGGAAAAAUCGCACACUAAAGGAAAUGAUGAAUGCGAUGUUACUAAGUUCAGGAUUGCCUCAAAAUAUGUGGGGCGAAGCUAUUUUGUCAAGCAAUUACCUUUUAAAUAGGGUACCCCGGAAAAAACAAGAUAAAACUCCUUAUGAGUUAUGGAAAGGUAGGAGACCAUCCUACAAAUACUUGAAAGUGUGGGGGUGUCUUGCAAAAGUGGCUAUUCCAGCACCAAAAAGAACAAAGAUAGGUCCUAGAACUGUGGACUGUAUCUUUAUAGGCUAUGCACAUAAUAGUGUUGCUUAUCGGUUUCUUGUGUAUAAUUCAGAAAUUUCGGAUAUACACAAAAAUACGAUAAUGGAAUCAAGGAAUGCUUCAUUCUUUGAAGAUGUGUUUCCUUGUAAAUCGAAUGGUGCAUCAAGUUCUUCAAAACGAACACAUGAAGUUGUGAAUCAAGAAAAACAUGAUCAUGACUUGAUUCAACAAGAUGAACCGAGACGUAGCAAAAGGGCUAGAGUGGAAAAAUCAUUUGGAGAUGAUUUUACAACUUUUCUAUUAGAAAAGGAACCACAAACCUAUACAGAAGCUGUAAGUUCUUCUGAAGGAUUUUUGUGGAAAGAAGCAAUAAAAAGUGAGGUUGAUUCUAUUUUACAGAAUCAUACAUGGGAGUUAGUGGAUCUUCCUCCUGGUUGUAGACCUUUAGGGUCCAAAUGGAUCUUUAAAAGGAAAAUGAAACCUGAUGGCUCUGUCGAUAAGUACAAAGCCAGACUUGUAAUCAAAGGAUACAAGCAACAAGAAGGUUUGGAUUAUUUUGAUACUUAUUCUCCUGUUACGAGAAUAAAUUCUAUCAGAAUGAUUCUUGCUAUCGCUGCAUUGAGAAAUCUGGAGAUACAUCAAAUGGAUGUAAAGACAGCUUUCUUAAAUGGUGAUUUAGAUGAAGAAAUCUACAUGGAGCAACCUGAGGGCUUCAUAACUCCGGGAAAAGGAAAUAAAGUUUGUAAAUUAGUGAAAUCAUUGUAUGGACUAAAACAAGCGCCAAAGAAAUGGCAUGAAAAGUUCGACAAUGCAAUGAUAACUAAUGGAUACAGAAUAAAUGAGUGUGACAAAUGUGUCUACACUAAAGAAACAGACAAUGGCUAUGUCAUCUUAUGUCUUUAUGUAGAUGACAUACUUAUUGUUGGUAGUAAUGACAAAAUGGUCAAAUCUACCAAGGACAUGUUGAAUUCAAAAUUUGACAUGAAAGAUAUGGGGCUUGCUGAUGUAAUUUUAGGAGUUAAAAUUACAAGAAUAUCAGACGGGGUGGUCUUGAGCCAAACUCAUUAUGUGGACAAGAUUCUGGAAAAAUUCAAUAAGAAUGAUUCUGGAAUUGCAAGAACUCCAUUAGACAAUAGUUUCCAUCUAUCUAAGAAUAGAGGAGAGAGUAUUUCUCAAGUAGAAUACUCAAGAAUCAUUGGAAGUCUAAUGUAUUUAAUGAGUUGUACUAGACCUGACAUUGCAUAUGCUGUGAGCAAAUUGAGCAGGUUUACAAGCAACCUGAGUGCUGAUCAUUGGAAAGCAAUUUUAAGGGUGCUUAAAUACCUACGGUACACUCGGAACUAUAGACUGCAUUACACUAGAUACCCUGCUGUUUUAGAAGGGUAUGCUGAUGCAAAUUGGAUAUCUGAUAUAAAAGAUUCAAAAUCCACAAGUGGAUAUGUGUUCACACUUGCCAGUGGGGCAGUAUCUUGGAAGUCUUCUAAACAAACUAUUGUAGCUAGAUCUACAAUGGAAUCUGAGUUCAUUGCCUUGGACAAAUGUGGAGAAGAAGCUGAAUGGCUCCACCAUUUCCUUGAAGACAUUCCAAAAUGGGAAAAACCUGUGCCACCAAUAUGUAUUCACUGUGAUAGUCAAUCAGCAAUUGGAAGAGCACAGAAUAACAUAUAUAAUGGUAAGUCUAGACAUAUACGUCGUAGGCAUAAUACCAUUAGACAACUACUCUCAACAGGAGUUAUCUCUAUUGAUUAUGUGAAAUCAAAGGAUAACAUAGCGGAUCCGCUAACCAAAGGAUUGAAUCGAGAGUUGGUUGCAAAAAUGGCAAAGGGAAUGGGACUAAAGCCCAUGGAAGGCUAAGUGUUAUAAAGGAAACCCAACCUAGUUGACUGGAGAUCCCAAGAUCUAGGUUCAAAGGGACAACCUAAUUAUAAGGACUUAGCAUAGUCAUUGUGGGGGGAUACCCCUAGACCCAUUCCAUAAUGAAACAAUGACGCAAAGGAGAAUUAAGGAUAGCACAAUGGUGUGCUUUAAUGAUUCUUAAGUGAAGUAAUUAAUUACUGAAGACUUAAGUAAAUCACCUAUGUGAGAGUGAAGUGGGGCCGCUUCGAAAGAGAAUUGUUUAGGGCUCAAUUCUUAAAAAAAAAAAAACUCUUGCUGAACCAGGUUGAUGUUCAUGGCCAAAACGAACAUAACUAUGAGAACUGAACAAAUGGAGCAUGAUUCCUGUGUGAAAUAUAUGGUUCAUUUACACUAAAAAGCGGGACAGUUCAAAGACAUCAUGUCUACUGGAUUGCUAGUAAAGUAAGUGUAUUUCACAAGAGAAGGUUCAAUGGGUAACACCAACCUAUCUUAUGCAGGUUUCAGUCGUGGAACACUACUGUCGAGUCAAAUCAAAACAAUUUUUCAUUCAUGUGGGGGAUUGUUGGAAAAUUGGCUAUAUUCAUUGUAGAGUGAAUGAGAAAAUUGUUCUCAUAAUGGCACUCUUGAAAGAAUCAAAGGAUAAUUAUCUAUUCAUGUACAUAGGAUUCAUGUAUAUUAUUCAUGAUAGGAUACAUGUACUUGAUACAUGAUUUUAUCGUUAUCUUAUUGAGAUACGUGUAUGUACAUGAAUAUGGUACUUUGAUCAACGUAAAGAUAAUUAUCUGGAUUUUAACUCUUGUUGCCAAUUUCGAACAGUCACCCUAAGCUAGCAUCUAUAAAUAUCUCCUUUUGUUUCAAAAGCAAGCGCGCUCUCUCUCUCUCUUUUUCCUUCUUGCAUCUUCAUAUUUUAUAGUGUUCCAUAUUGCUCUAGUUCGAGUUCGUUGUGGUGAAUAAAGUUUGGUGCUGACAUAUUCACCUUUAAUCCGUUGUAUCCUGGGAGACAGACGCCUACUCAACCUCGAGCACUCUACCUGGAGGGGGCGAAUCUGUUUUAAGGAAAUUGUGCUCACAAGCCUCGGAUUGUUACUAUUGUUAUUUUUCUAUCUUUACUUUCUUUCUAGGUUGUAUUUAUUCUUCUCUUUUGUAUCAGCCUACUUUAUUAUUUCACUAACAAUCCAUUCAUUUGCUUCUUUCUUACAAAAUUAAUUUAACUUACACAUAACUAAACGUUAUUAGGUUCCAUUAGUAAUUAAAAAAUGUUAGUGAAUUGUCCUAAAUUUGCUUAAAAUAAGAAACAAUUUGGAACCAAAAUUAUUUUUGACCAAAAUUUUUGCCAAAAAUUGAGGUCCAUACUUUUUUUUGCUGAAACUUUAGAACUAAAACUGUACAAGUGCAAAACACUAGCUAAGGAGAAAACCUUCAUUUUUUUCCAAAAAUUAAAAGAAAAUUCAGAAAACUAGGAAAUGAAUAUUGGCAUUCAAGAAGAGGUGGGAUUUAAGAAGCUAAAGUUUGGAACCUAGAACAUCCAAUUCCCGUAAUCUCAACCUUAACUAAUUGUCCAAGGCCUAUUCUGCGCAUAAGGGCUCAUCUCAUGAAGAAGAAGGCAAAUUAUUAAAUGCCAAUACAAAUUUACGGAAGAAAGAGGAGCCGUGCAAGACUGGUGUAGUUGUUUAUUUUUGGACACUUUUGAGGUUUUUUUGCCGUGCAAAUAAUUACCCAAGUCCCUUAAUAAUUUUGUACCUUCUUUUCAAUCAUGUGCACCGAGCGUGCCAGUAGACACCCAAAAUUCCUGCCUAAAGGUAGAUGCCACCCACAUAGCUAUCAUUUCUGGGCAUUAAUGUGAUUUCUUUCAGUUUUUGGACUUAAUCUUUGUGUUAAACAAUUUAUACAGUCAUCCUUAGGGAACAAAGCAUAAAGUGUUGCAUCUCAAUCCCAAGUUCAAGAGUGUAAAAUGUAGUUAGCCCUUAAAUUCAGUCAUCAUUCUCUUAGGAUCUUCUUGGUCAGCUUCUCAAAGCAUAAAGAAGCAGGGCCAAGAAUCAGAACCAAGAACACACGAGAUUUUUCUUUGCUAAAAUAUUUUGAGAAGGUUGGGCCCAACCUAUUAGAACAAAAAUGAGGUCUAAAUUAUUGUACAAAAAUCAAAAGUCAUCUAUUAGAACACCGCAAUCCAAAUCAUUAGACUCCAUUAACUGAAUCAUACUGGUAACUCGUUGUGUGACCUGCAAGUAUGAUUUGAUGGAAACCCAAGUUUCAUCAAAUUAACUGAGAGGGUAGUGAAGGGUGAAGAGCAGAGCCACUCCAGAAUGCCAAAGAGACACGGAGAUUAUGACAAAAUUUACGCCAAAUGCCGAAUAUAAGAAAUCUUAGAUCACUCGUGAAUCAAUAGUUGGGGCAAUCAUGAUGAAGAGAAAGAAAAGACCGACUCUGAUGCUCCAAUUGUAGAUUUGUCCGGUGAAAAAUUCUACAACAUUUUUCUGCAACUGAAUGGCAGCUAAUUUGAGAAGCGAAGAGUCUGAGACAGCUUACCAAAUUGACUACUAUAACCAGUUGAUAUAUACUUUCAAGGGUUCCCGACUGAGCUUUAAGCCUACAGUCCCUGCAAAACAGAAAACUCGGACUCAGGACUUCACCUAGCAAAUCAUAAGGCUAAAUGGGAAUUGCAUGACAUUUUUGUUUAGUCAAUUAUUCGGAAAAGCUCAAUCAAUAUUUGUUUUCGUUGUAAGCACAUAUCAAAUCUUUCUGCUCAGUCAAUAAGUAAAUGAUAAGCAAAUUGAUAAGCAAAUGAACUUUUAGCGUGCUUAGUUGGAUGAGGAGCUUCUAGAUUCAAAAUCUAAGGCAGGCAUGUUUGCCAGCAUUGCAAUAAAGAUAGAAGAGCAAUUUCCAUGUCAUUUUUGAGCUGGGAAUCUUACACAAAGAAAGAGCUUCUUUUUGUUGCCUUUGUUCGAAAAGUAAUAAGCAGGAUAGAAGACUUGAUACUAAGUACAGCUACUUAUCCAUUUAGAACAAAAUCAAUAACCUGAUGCUAUUUCUAGAAAAUUUGCAAGCUUCUCACGAUCAAUGUGUUUCUCUAUCACCAACCAAACCUCUCAGGAUGAUCACCAGAAAUUCACGUUAAUGAUGUCCUUGAUCUUGAGAGACUUUACAUAUGUUGGGGAAAGAAAUUUUAGCGAGCAGUUCAUAGAGGCCAGCUGAAAAAAAUAGAGCAUCUUAUCAAGUUUUAGACACUAAGAAGAAAGAAAAGUGUACCUGUAGUGUGCCAUCCUAGUCAUUUCUCUCCAAUUGAAACAGGAUCUGAUUCAACAAAGUUUUCAAAGGUUAAGAGCAGUUGUAGAUUCCAGUUGACGUUUGAGCCUGAUAUCAUUGCACAACAGAAAACUCGAACUGGGACAAUAUGUGGUCAACAAGAAAGCUAAUGAGAAAGUUCAGAUAAUUCAACAAUACUUUGGUUCUGUCAAUCUCACAAAAGGGUAAAAUGUUUGUUUACAGAGUUGUGUUUACAGUUAUUCCUAUGACCAUUACAUUAGUUUGGUUCCGACCGCAAUGCAACGCAAGUAAUUACAACUUAAAAACUUGAAAAUAAUGAUAGGCACUUUUCGUAGCACAUGCAAAGCAUCCCAUAUUGAGGCAUUGAUGCACAAUAGAGCUAUGGGACAAUGAGGCACAAUAGAGAUCCACAUUCAACUACUACCAUAACACUGGGUAGAUCUAACUCCUAACUACAAGCAGCAUGCCAGAGAUGACAAAUUGAGUUCUAAAACAUGUAAAUCAGCACCUUAUUAUCAUGACAACAAAUGUCUGAAUCAUUUGCUAGUUUAAAAGCAUCAAUGAGGUUCCCUGUUGAGCUUUGGGCCUAAAAUCACUCCAAAGCACAAAAACUCAAACUCAGGAUGGCAUAUAGCGUAGCAUACAACUAAAGGAAAAUUUCAAUAAUUGCAGGUUUUCUGUCAUUGUAACCAAAGCCCCAAAAGAAGAAAUUUACCAUACAAAUACUAGCAACCAACAAUCAUAAAAACAGAGAGAGCUUGAGAGCCUUUAUCAAGGUAGGUUCACUAAGAGCAGCAAGUAGCAACAAACAGGCUUGACUAACUACCAGAAUGCUCCAAAACAUUCCGCUUAGACUUGAAUGUUGGAAGAUACUCCACCAAGUUUUGUGCAACUUCAUUGCUUGAACGGUACAUCUUCCUUGGCUAACUCAAAAAUAUCUUCAGGACGACAAGAUUUCUUUUGUUUUGUGGAUAUCAAAGUGGUUAAAAGUCACAAUUGAGCAAUGAAAGAAAAGCAUAUCUAAAAUUACCAGAAUUUUUGAACCAAAACAUGAAAGCGAUGACCAACAGCUGCGAAUAAUCCUUGGUUGACCAUAGUCUUCAUGGCUAGAAAGUCAAAACCAAGGAAAAGAGACUCAGAAAACCAUCAUAUAUGACUCUGAUAGAGCAGUUACUAAUCAAAUGGUUCAGAUAAGUAUGUAAGCUCAUUAUCAAGAGAAAAAAGUUCAGAGAAACCAUUUCAUUCCCGUAGAAUCACAAGUUUAAACAGAGUGAGCUGACUUUAGCAACAAUAACUUACAAUCCACGAAAGCAGACAUGUAAAAUCAAUAGAAAAAACUGCUGGUUGUUUUAAACGUUGAUGGGCUAUUUAUAGGAAAUGCAAGCCAAAAGUUAUUGAGUUCCAGCCAUAUAGAUCGUGCUGAAGAAGCUUCAAAAUUCUAACAUCUGUUUGUCUAAGCAAGAGACCACCAAAAUCAGUUUGGAAAGUAUUGAAGACAGGAGUGUGGUCAGAAUUGUAAUUUAAGGACAUAUAGAAAAAGUUCCUCAAAUUUUCUACAUACCCUAUGGAAUAUAAAACGCAUUUGCAUUUUAAAGAGAACUCAUUUCAUCCUGAUGCACAUCGUGAGUUUAAAGAGAGAGCUAAUCUUAGAAAUCAUAAUGUACAACUGAUUGGCUGACAUACACGAUAAACAAAGUAAAGUCAAAUCUUAAUUUCUUUUAUAUUGUUACUUGAUUAGUUGAUUUGUUUCAUUUUUCUUUUAUGCAAAACUUGCUUUGGUCAUCCAAGAAAUAUGAAGACAUGUAACCAUCGCAUAUUGAUGGUAAUUUUUAUGAACUACCUAUAACUUUGAAUCAUGAUUCUGAAACCUAAGAAAGACAUUAGACAAUAUUGAAAAGAACCACUACAUGCAAUUCUUCAUUUUUGGUUAAACGACUACCAACAUAAGAUGUAGUACUCAACAUCAUAUAGACCAAGUAAUAUUGGAAUAAUAACAAAUCUUAAAGUAACAGAAUCAUUCUAGACAUGCCAUUUUUAACUGCAAAAAGAGAACAUGAAAACUCAGAAAAUCAUGUAAUGGCGCAAAGAUACAGCUUCAAGAAAGGUGGCGAGCAACUUGUGGAGGCUGACUAAUGGAGAAUAAGCAGUCACAAGACGGACCAAUACUUUUUCUGCAACUAAGUUGCAGCUAACAUGAGAGACAAGCAGUCUGAGAUAGAAAAACAAAUUGAGGUCCAUAACCAGUGAAUUACUACCUCAUGUCAUGACCACAAAAGCUACAGCUGAUUUACAGUUUUAAUCACCACAUUCACAAUGUAGAUCUCAGGCUUUGGCAUUGUUUUCUAACAUAAACUGGUACGCAGAUGUGAAUCUUUCUGCUUAGUCUACAGAUAUAAGUAGUGUCACAAGAACUAUCUCCUAGUUUGUGUCCGAAACUCUGAAAGAUGACCAGUUGAGUAAUUUAGAAAAAGAGAUGCAAGGUCAGUGAAAGCUAAAGAAUCUUCAUGAGGCGAAUUCCCAGAGCAGCAACCAAUACAUUCUGUAAGGUCAUUGAAGACACACUUUGAAGGUACUUGAGGUAAACCUAUUUUUAAAUAAAUCAUUAAAAAUUAGAAAAUAUAGAAGCAAGAAUUAUUAAAGAUGGAAAUUUAAGAUAAAUAGGCAUUUUUUCCAAGUAAAGUUUGUUACUAUCAUUUAAUAAAACCUUUUGUAAUGACAUCGAAAUUACACUUUGAAGGUAAUUGAGGCAACUCUCUUUUAAAUAAAUCGCGAAAAAGAAAAUGCUACUGCUGAUUGACAGUUUCAACUUUGGAGGCAGCAUAUUCACAACAACAAAUCACAAGCUUUGCCAGCUAAGACAUGAAGAAUAAAAAGACUGUGCCCAAAUGUGAUCCAGUUAAGAAUCAAAUGAAUUUCAAAAGUAAAGGCAGUAAUACUAAUUAGGGGCCAACAAGGUUUAUCCAAUAAACUGGAAACAUAAUUUAGUCGUUUAGGAAGGGACCAUAUAUACUGAGAAAAUUCCAGCACUUGGUUUUCAAUAUCAAAGACCUCGAAUCUUUUGGUGAUUCUUGGAGUAGAAAUCAAAACUUUUUUGGUAAAGCACUAAGUCAUAAGAGGUUUUCAAUAAGAGGGUUAAAAUAGUUUUGAUUAAAAUAAAGUGCAAAUUAUACUUUACCCUCCUGUGAUAUAGUUAAUUUUCACAUUACCCCCCUAUAGUUUUAAAAGUUAUAUAUAACAUUUUUAUAGUUUGGACUAAAGUGUUAAAGUGACGGAAAUAAUCAUCUGUAACGGAAUUUAUGAAAAUAUCAAAAUUACCAAAAUAUAGAAAUAUAAUAUGCAUGACACUCUAACCUUGUAUGGUUUUAUAUUUUAUCAUAUAACUCCUUUAUAAUUUAGUACUUUACCAUAUAACCCUCUUAUGAUUUAGUGCUUUACCAUGUAACGCCCUUAUGAUUUUCAAUAUAUGUACAUAACUCCCCUAUGGUUAAUAAAUAAUUUUCAACUUUACAUAGGAGUAUUUUUUAUAUUUUAGUUGUCUCCAUUAUGGAUUGCAAAUUCCGUCACCUUGAUACUUUAAUCCAAAUCAUGAGGGAGUUAUGUAUAGUUUUUGACACCAUGUGAGAUUACGUAAGAAAACGCUAAACUACAAGAAGGUACAGUAUAAUUUAUCCUAAAUUAAAAUAUUAAGUUUUUUGUUAUAGUUAACCGGUCGUAAAGUGUAAGUUGGUUAUUUGAUUAUAAGGCAAUUUAUAUUAUAUAAAAUGGGAAAAUAGAAAAUCUUUUUCACUUCUUUCCAUCCAUAUGCCUUACAAUGUAUCUCUUUUUUGUAUUUUUUGGUUAAAAUAUUGUAUCUCCUUCUCACUACUUGACCUUCCCUUUUCUUUUUUCUUUUUUUUUUUAACUUUGUUCCUAUUCACCUCUGAAUCACCCAUAAAUUAGUACUACUCAAACCCAAAAUCUUAUGACCCAAAAUGACAGCAUCUUCAAAAUUUCAGAAAUGGAUGGAGUGCUUGAUCAACUUCUUCAUUUGUGCAUAUAUGAUAUUUCUGUCCAUGGCGCCAGCAUUAUUUAUGCCAAGUAAUUCCGUGCGGUGGCUGCUUGCGGUGCACAGGAGCGGUUAUAUGGAGAAGAUGAUAUGAGAAAAGACAAGUUUGUUUGGAUAAGAGUUUAUUUGGAUGAUUUAUUUGAGAUAUUUACUGUAGCACUUUUUGUGAUGUGAUGUAUGUGAGAUAAAAAUGUGGUUGAGAAGAUAAAAAGGUGAUUGGGAUUUGUGAGGCUGACAGGUGUCGUGUCUGUGCAAUAAUAAAUACCUGCUUAAGAAAAAUAAAUUUUCUGUGUAUAAUAGUAAGCAGGGUCGAAUCCACAGGAACUGGGAAAAAUUUGAUUCUUUUUAAAUUCGAAACACGGGGGAUUUUUAUCAAAAUGAAAUUAAAAAUAAAUAAUUAAACAAUUUAACUAAAAAUAAUUAAACAAUUAAUAUAAAUGUAAAUAGAAAUUUAAUAAAUAAUAAAUAAAUUCUAGUCAAGGAUACAACUACGCAGACACUGUCUAUUCAUCAGAUCAUUGAUGCACAGGGGUUCACUUAAUUUAAUUAAUAGGCUAGUUAUAGUCGCCGAUAAUCUCUAACGACCAGUUUUUCCUUAAUUUAUUGAUAACCAAGGUACAACCGUUGAUUACCCCUAACCAGGAAAUACUCCUAGGUACGACCGUAGGAAUUAAUUUCCUAAUUGCCUUAAAAACUAGAAAAGCCUAACCCAAAUUAAUAACACGCUACGAGGGUUAUUUAAAUUAGAUUGCAUGUUCCCAUAGGGUAAGAAAACACUAGUUGCCACUAAUAUUAACCAAUUAAACAAUUGCAGAUUUAAUUGAUUAAUUUGACAAGAGAUUAAAAAGUCAAAUUGCACAUCGGGCCCUUGAUAUCCAAUUAACAAAAUAAUCCCAUGGAAAUUCAAAUAGAAAACAUGCAAAUAUUAACAAAUUAAGGAACACGUAAAAACUAAUUAGAUCUCACAUAUAUUUGGGACUGCGUCUUCGCGUUGAUCCUUGACUAGAGGAGAAAAUUAGCCACGCCUCAUAAGAAAAUUCCCACACAAUUUAAUUGAAUUCAUAGACAUAAACACUCGCUAAUAAUUUAGAAUAAAACUUUGAAUCUCCGUAGACUCUUUGAAGAAAAAUUACAUACCACACAACAAAAGAAGGAACAAGUUCCUUCUUACACAAAAGACUACCUAUUCUCCUCCGGAGCUUCUUUGGAGAGCAAAACUAAACUCUCCAAUGCUGCCAGAAGCACUAGCUAAAAAUAGCUCUCCUCCGUGAGCCCACUAGUCUAGUUCUUCCUUAUUUUAUUGGAACACUAAGUUCCACAAGAGAACUAGUUACGUAGGAAGCAAAUAGAAAAGCUACUUUCAUCAUCAAAGUGGCUAAUGAAUACAUCUCCCAAAAGAAGGACAGACUUUCUAAAUCAAAUAAUCAAUCCAUCCACUUUCUACGUGGUCCCCUGACCUUUCUUCUUUUGAUUUCUUAUUGGUAGUGGAUUUCAUCAGACCAAGUCAGUUCUUCAUUAGCAAAAAGGGAAGGAAAUCCGUUGGUUUUGCACAAUGUGGGCUAGUUGUGUAAAGCUUUCAGAAGCUUUCACGUGUGAAUUAAUCUUCUCAAGAAAGUCCCCCUUUUUAGUAGUUUUCUACUCCAUUCCCUGAAAUUAAAUCCAAAUACCAAAUAUAAGUAAAUAUUAAUAAUUAAAAUAAUAUUUGGCAAGGACAAAGAGGAAAAUUUACAAUAAAAUUGCUAACAAUUGACACCCUAUCAGAGGCAAAAAAAUUUUUUCCAAAUUCUCUUUGUCCAAACAAACUUGAUCGUAGUUUAAAAAUUUAUACCCUGUGAUUUGGUGUUUUACUACAUAACCCUUCUAUAGUUUAAAAAUUUAUAUACAACCCCUUCGUAGUUUGGAUUAAAAUGUUACCAUCAUUUUUUCCCAUUAAAACUAACAGUCAAUAGCAAAAAUCAAAGUCAAACUAAUAAAUAGACAAAUUCACCUUUUCGCUACAUUUUUUUCCUUUCUUUCUUUUUUUCUUUUCUUUUCUUUCUUUCUUUUUCUUUUUUUUUUGGAAGAGAAUAGAUGAUUUAAAAUUUGUACUUUAGCUUAUAAAAUUUUAAUUUUCUUCGGAUACAAAAAAAGGAAGGGAAAUGAAAAAUAAACAAUUAAGAAAUAGAAAAGAUGGAAGGAAAGUGAAAAAAAUAAAUUAAUAAGAAACCAAAAAUGGAAGGGAAAUAUAAAACAAAUAAAUAAGAAACAAAAGAUACCAAAUCUUUAUUGGCUGCAAAUAUCAUUAUAGGCUUUUAGACCAAAUCUUUUAUGGUAUUUUCUAUUUAUUAUUUAUCUAUUUUUACUUAAAUUUCUUCUUUUUUGUAUUUGGAGGAAAAAAAGGAAAGUAGUGAAAGAGUAAAUUUGUCAAUGUAUUAUUUUGAUUUUGAUUCUUUUUUAACUAUUGAUAACUUUGAUGGAGAAACUAACGGUGACCCAUUAAGUCACACCAUGAGAAGGUUAUAUAUAGGUAUAUUAAGUCAAAUCAUGAGGGCAAAAGGUAAUUUGUCCUAAUUAUUAUUUUGUUUGCUUAAAAUCUUUGAGAAUUUGGUCAAAGUCCAGAGACCACAAAGUGAUAAUUUCCAUACUACUUAUCAGGCUGGUUGGUUCAGUAUGGAGGAAUAUGUGUACUGGAUGAUGUCCACCUCAAUAAUCAGACUCGGUCAUACAUCAUGUAAUUGGCCACGAAUUGGAUUCUUUUCUUUGCAUUUUAACUUGUGAAAGUUGUUCAAAUAUUCUCUCGUACUUUAGGAAGUCUUCUAAAGCAUCAAUGAUACUUGAAAGAAGAAUUUAACAACUCAUAUCUUAGACCGUAUUCUUCUAUUAGCCUCCUAUCCCAUUUAUAAUUAGUUUUCACACUCAAUAUGUCUUGGUUAGGUUUCAUGUGCAAGAUUAAGUGUUGAAAAAAAUUUGAAGAGUUUGUUUAACCAAAGUACAAUAUGAUUUUCCCAGGGAAGCUGCUUGGCCUUUUACUGGAAAAAAUUUCCCAGGUCAAUGCAGGGAUUCCAUUUUUUUUUUUUUUUUUUGAAGUGGCUUGUUUGUGUUGUCAUCCUGCACUUGGUUUUGUGAAUUGGAUUUUGACUCUUGGCUAGCUUGUUCAAACUCCCGGAAUAGAGAAAAUACCAAAUUGAGGGCCGACUUCUACUCUGUGUAUUAUCAGCAAUCAGGUUUGGUUAGGCAGAGCCAAAGAAGAAGGAAGAUUUACAGCAACUAGUAGGCAUUGUUCUGAAGCCGCGGAUUAAAACGCAUACACAGAGUCAUGCCAGUAAAGAGAGAAUAUCUGAGAGCAUUGGCAAUCAAAUAUCAGAGGGUAAAUUACAUACAAUCCCCAUGAAAUUUUGAAUAAUACCACAUUUCAAAAUAGUCAUGCAAUUCCAUCUAUAUAUAUGGCUAUAAGUGAUGUCCUGAAUCAAAAAAUGAUGGAGGAAACUGGACUGUGACGUGGGUUGGUAAGAGAAUCAGAUGCGUGAUAAUUGUUGAUUUCUUGCAAAAUCUUGUACAUUUGGUUACUUGAAAUAGGACAUUGAUAAACAUCAAAUGAAAACGCAAAGGUUAUUCAAACCUUUGCGGAAGAAUCAACUCCGGUGCAGCAGAAUCUCCGGCUUGUUAUCCCAAGGACACAACAGCCCACCUACACUUGUUGUCACUUUCAUUAGUCCAUACAACUAAGAGAGUAUAACUCCACUAACACUGGUCUUUCUUGUCGAUCUAUGAGAUAGAAAAUAACAAAGGAGUAGAUAUUUUUCUCUUAUGAAUUGUAGUUUAUAAAACAUAAGUUGUUGUAGCGCCUUUUCCUAUCUCAACUACACAUAUUUAUAGGUGAAGAAAAAUUAGUCAAACAUAACCUACACUAAUAAUAUGCUAAGUAACUGUUGAAAAUGAUUGGCUAUUCAAGACACAUUCUAAUUUGUAUUGUAGGUUAUAAAAUUUAUUGUAAUUGAAAAGCCAUAAUUUCAUAUAAUAAAUAUUUAGUAAAACAUCAUUCAAACACCAAUAAAUUUCAAAAACAUUUACCAAUUUAUUCUCCUUGUAACUUACACAUUGAAUUGAGAAUUUAACUAUUUUAUUAAAAUACUCCAACAGAAACUGUCAAUAUUUAAGAAUUCUUUUGAAGUAAUUAUUACUAAUAUAGUUUCCAUUUCUCGUGGAAUGUUCUGAAUCUCUCCUAAAGCAACAUUUUCCAAUUUGAGUGCCAGAAUUGUUGCAAACUUUUUUGGUUUGUGCGUCACUUUGCAUCUAAGAAUUCAAAAUUUCACCACCAAUUAAAUAGUUUCCCUUGCAACUUUAGUUUUCUUUUCUCUUCUAUUUCCAAUUUCUCCUAACUUAUAUUUCCUUGUUGCGGAUCUUGCCCAACUAUAUGAGAUAUGUCUUAUCGAUUCUUUGAUUCCUGGAACACAAGAAAUUUUUCAUUCCUAAUAUGUAUUCUUGUUUAAUUGUUUAAUUGAUUUUUAAAAGUUAUUAGUAAAAAAAUUAGAUCUAAUUUCGUGCAGUGCUCCUUUGACAAACUGAAUCGGAUGCUUUAGCGACGGAAGUCGCUUCGCAUCUUCAAUUCACCUUUCUUAAUGAGAUACUAAAUUCUUUGUUAAAUUUUGACUUUAAACAUCAAAAUAGAGUAAUUCUUUUGGUUUAAUGAUUAAAGUACUUCAAGAAUAAAAGGUCCUAGAUUCAAUUCUCCGAAUUUUUACUUCUCUUGUAUGAAAAUAAAGUAUGAACAUAAAAAUGAGCUAACCUAAUGUUUCAAAAAAAAAAAAAAAAAACAAGACAUCACCUAAAACUACAAAUGACCUUUGUAUACUCUUAAAACUUAUGCCUAUAAUUUCUUCUUGUUAAUUUGCAACCUCAAAGUUUUAUCUUUUUAAGUAUCUUUCCAUUUCAAAAAAUUGGAGAUCCCUGAUAUUUGUAGUUGUCUUGACCGAUUCAAUUUCUUACCUCCAUUUCAUAUUUAGUGUGCAUGCAUUCUAAUGGUGAGUUUAUACACGAUUUGUAUAGAAUACACCUAUGGCUGUCAAUCCGUCUUUGAGCUUGGGGUUGCUUGAUUAAUUUUAAAAAAAUCUUAGGUCGAAUGAACUCUAGCAAAGAAUGAUUUGAAAUAUCUAUUUGCAACCCUGUUAAAAAUUUAUCUUCAUACCUUUUGCAAGGUCAUUGAAAACACACAUUGAAGGUACUUGACGCUAACCUGUUUUUAAAUAAAAUCAUUAGGCAUUAGAAAGUAUAGAGGCAAGAAUUAUUAAAGCCAGAAAUUUAAGAGGUACUUUGAAGACAUCAAAAAUAUGGUUUGAUGGUACUUGAGGCAAACACUUUUUGUUAAAUAAAUCAUAAGCAUUAGAAAAUUAAGAGGCAAGAAUUAUUAAACAUAGAAAUAUUAAAAAUCUACCUAAUAUUCCUUUUAGGAUAAAUUUUGAAUACACAAAUAGUAUAUAUACAAGCGAGGCUGAAUACAUGCUACCUUUACUGUGGAAGAAAUAAGUACAUCAGCAAUUCUUUUUGUUCCUUUUUUGUUCCUUGGAUACUUUUUGCAGUGGAAGGUUUUUGCCCUGGGUGGAGGCAAAAAGGAACUAUUUUUUGCUUUAGUAGAAGUACGGCCGCAAACGAAUCGAGCUGCUCGAGAACGGCUCGAGUCGAGUUCGAGUUGGCUCGAGUCAAAAUCUAGCUCGAACUCGAGUUCAAAAUAUUAAGUUCGUUAGGCUCGCGAGCUCGAGUAUAUGUAUGUUAUAUUUAUUUAUUUUUUUAUUUUAAGUAUAUAUAUUAUAUUUUUUUAAUUUUAAUAGUAAAAUUACAUAUAUAUCCUUAUUAUUUUAUUAUUUAUUAAUAAAAAUAUUAUUUUAUUUAUUUUUUAAAAAAUAAAAUAAUUAUUUUUUAUUUUUUUCGAGCUUGAGCUCGAACUUGGCUCGAAUCAAGUCGAGUUAGAGCUCGAGCUUGAAAUUGUCAGCUCGUUGAGCUCGAGCUCGAUUUCAAGUUCAAUGAAAUUAAAUCAAGACUCGGCUCGAUUAAGCAAAAACUCGGCUCGACUCGGCUCGUUUACAGCCCUAAGCAGAAGCAACAAGACUUUGACAAACUUGUAUGCUUUUGCAACAAGGAAGAGGUUGCUACUUGAUCCGGGGCCUCACAAUUUAUGUUUUAUACAAUUUCGUACAAGUUGAUCUUUGGUGUAAAUUAGUCGGAUUUCAGUGUGAAUUAGAUCUAUUUUAAUAUAAAUCAGGUGCAGUUCAGUGUAUAUUAAUUUGUUAUUAUUUUGUAUAAAUCAGAGACACUUGGAUAUAAGUUGAUUAUUAUCAUUUAGUAUAAGUUAAGGUCAAUUUGAUGUAAACGGAGAGUAAAUGGUUAAUUUACAUCAAAUUAUACAUAAUGGAACUUGUGAGGCCUAUUUCCUGCAUAGGACUUGUGAGGCCUGUAAUUUUGGUAUCCAAAAUUUGACACGUGAACAGUUUUAAUUCCCAAACUUUGGACGAAAACAAAUCUAGUAUCCAAACUUUCAAUAUUUGAGCACAUUUAGUAGCCUUAGUGAAUUUUUUCCAAAUUGUUACUUGAAAAAGUCACGUGAUAGUCAUAUGUUCGACAAAAAUUAUAUAAAAAAAUGUCACAAAAAUGUAAAAUAUCUUUCUGACACUAAGAUGAAGAUGAAAUACAGCAAAAGAAGGAGAAAAGAAAUAAGAUGAGUAGAGUUGGGUAAGUGAUUAACGUUUUUAAAAUAUCUUGGUACUUAGUGCUAGAAGGAUAUUUUACAUUUCAUUGGUAUUAUUUUUAUGCAAUAGUUGUCGGACAUGCGAUUAUCGCGUGAUUUUUUCUGAUAGCAUUUUGGAAAAAAAUUGUCAAGGGUACUAAAUAUGCUCGAAUAUUAAAAAUUUGAGUAUAAGAUUUAUUAUUGUUCAAAAUUUGGGGAUUAAAACUGCUCAUGUGUUAAAAUUUGAGUACCAAAAUUAACAUUUUUCUCUACUUGUCGUUGCCCGGGCCUUCAUCUACUUUUGAUCCACAUGCUGGAGCCUUGGGUUGUGUGAAAUAUGACAAUCAAGGAUUUAAAAUACGACAAAACAAGAAAAAAGAAAGGGAAAAUAGCAAUCAUAAUUGCAACUCCGGCAACUAUUUUCUUUUUGAGUUAAAUACAAAAAACCUCCUUAUGAUUAAUCGAAUGUUCAAGUUAACUCCCUAUACUUUGGAAACAUACAUAAAAUCCCCUUAUGCUUUUGAUUAAAAUAAAGGGCAAAUUACACUUUACCCUCCUGUGGUAUAACUAAUUUUCACAUAACCCCUUGUAUUUUUAAAAGGUAUAUAUAACUUCUUUAUAGUUUGGACUACAUUGUCAAAGUGACGGAAAUAAUCAUUUAUAACGGAAUCUAUGAAAAUGUCAAAAUUACAAAAAUAUAGAAAUAUAAUAUGCAUGGCACUCUAACCCCAUAUGGUUUUAUAUUUUACCAUAUAACCCUCUUAUGAUUUAAUGUUUUAUCAUAUUACCCCAUUAUGGUUUUCAAUAUAUAUAUACAUAAUCCCCUGUGGUUAAUAAAUAAUUUUUAACUUUAGAUAGAGGUAUUUUUGAUAUUUUAGUUGUUUCCGUUAUGGAUUGUAAAUUCUGUCACUUUGAUAUUUUAAUUCAAAUCAUGAGAGAGUUAUGUAUAGAUUUUGACACCAUAGUGAGAUUAUAUAAGAAAACACUAAAUCACAAAGAGAGUAAAGUAUAAUUUGUCCUAAAUUAAAAUAUUAAUUUUUUUGUUAUAGUUAACAAUAAUAAAGGGUAAGUUGGUUAUUUGAUUAUAAGGCAAUUUAUAUUAUAUAAAAUGGGAAAAUAGAAAAUCUUUUUCUCUUCAUUCCAUCCAUAAGCCUUACAAUGUAUCUCUUUUUUAUAUUUUUUGGUUAAAACAUUGUAUCUCCUUUUCACCACUUGACCUUACCUUUUCUUUCUUUUUUUGGUAAAUUAUAUUUUAUCCCCCUGUGGUUUAGUACUUUUUCUACAUAACUCCCCUAUGGUUUCAAAAGCUAUACAUAACCUCCCAUAAUUUAGAUUAAAGUAUCAAAGUAACGAAAAUAGUCAUUCGUAACAAAACUUUUGAAAAUGUCAAAAUUACCCUUAUAAAUACAUGACACACUAACCCCGUAUGAUUUUUAUAUUUUACCAUAUAACCCCCUUAUAGUUUUCAAAAUAUAUACAUAAUUCUACUUGGUUAAUAAUUAAUUUUCAACUUUACAUAAGGGUAUUUUUGACAUUUUAGAUGACUCCAUUAUGAAUGAUUAUUUCCAUCAUUUUGAUACUUUAAUCCAAACCAUAAAAGGGUUAUGUAUAGUUUUUGAAACUAUAAGGGAGUUAUGUAAAAAGCACCAAAUCACAGGGGAUAAAUUGGAGUUUGCGUCUUCAAACCCAAAAUCUUAUGACCCAAAAUGAUGGCGUCUUCAAAAUUUCAGAAAUGGAUGGAGUGCUUGAUCUACUUCUUCAUUUGUGCAUAUAUGAUAUUUCUGUCCAUGGCUCCAGCCUAUUUAUGUCAAGUAAUUCCGUGCGGUGGCUGCUUGUGGUGCACAUGAGCGGUUAUCUGGAGAAGAUGACGUGAGAAAAGAUGAUCACAUCUGUGAUUUGGUAUUUUAUUACAUAACCCUUCUAUAGUUUAAAAAUUUAUAUAUAACCCCUUCAUAGUUUGGAUUAAAGUGUUACCAUCAUUUUUUUCCGUUAAAACUAACAGUCAAUAGCAAAAAUCAAAGUCAAACUAAUAAAUAGACAAAUUCACCUUUUCACUACAUUUUUUUCCUUUCUUUCUUUUUUUCUUCUCUUUUCUUUCUUUCUCUCUCUUUUUUUUUUUUUGGAAGAGAAGAGAUGAUUUAAAAGCUGUACUUUGGCUUAUAAAAUAUUAAUUUUCUCUGGAUACAAAAAAGGAAGAAAAAUGAAAAAUAAAUAAUUAAGAAAUAGAAAAGAUGGAAGGAAAGUGAAAAAAAUAAAUUAAUAAGAAACCAAAAAGAUGGAAGGGAAAUAUAAAACAAAUAAAUAAGAAACAAAAGAUACCAAAUCUUUAUUGACUGCAAAUAUCAUGAUAGGCUUUUAGACCAAAUCUUUUAUGGUAUUUUCUAUUUAUUAUUUAUCUAUUCUUUAUUUAAAUUACUUUUUUUUUGUAUUUGGAUGAAAAAAGGAAAAUAGUGAAAGAGUAAAUUUGUCAAUGUAUUAGUUUGAUUUUGAUUUUUUUUUAACUAUUGAUAGUUAGUUUUGAUGGAGAAACUAUCGGUGACCCAUUAAGUCACACCAUGAGGCGGUUAUAUAUAGGUAUAUUAAGUCAAACCAUGAGGGCAAAAGGUAAUUUAUCCUAAUUAUUAUUUUGUUUGCUUAAAAUCUUUGAGAAUUUGGGCAAAGUCCAGAGACCACAAAGUGAUAAUUUCCAUACUACUUAUCUGGCUGGUUGGUUCAGUAUGGAGGAAUAUGUGUACUGGAUGUCCACCUCAAUACUCAGACUUGGUCAUACACCAUGUAAUUGGCCACGAAUUGGACUCUUUUCUUUGCAUUUUAACUUGUGAAAGUUGUUCAAAUAUUCUCUCGUACUUUAGGAAGUCUUCUAAAGCAUCAAUGAUACUUGAAAGAAGGAAUUUAACAACUCAUAUCUUAGACCGUAUUCUUCUAUUAGCCUCCUAUCCCAUUUAUAAUUAGUUUUCACACUCAAUAUGUCUUGGUUAUGUUUCAUGUGCAAGAUUUAAGUGGUGAAAAUUUGAGGAGUUUGUUUAACCAAAGUACAAUAUGCUUUUCCCAGGGAAGCUGCUUGGCUUUUUACUGCAAAAUAAUUUCCCAGGUCAAUGCUGGGAUUCCCUUUUUUUUUUUUUUUUUAAGUGGCUUGUUUGUGUUGUCAUCCUGCACUUGGUUUUGUGAAUUGGAUUUUGACUCUUGGCUGGCUUGUUCAAACUUCCAAGUUUCUUAAACACAAGUACCUCCCGGAAUAGAGAAAAUACCAAAUUGAGGGCCGGCUUCUACUUUGUGUAUUAUCCGCAAUCAGGUUUGGUUAGGCAGAGCCAAAGAAGAAGUAAGAUUUACAGCAACUAGUAGGCGUUGUUCUGAAGCCGCGGAUUAAAACGCAUACACAGAGUCAUGCCAGUAAAGAGAGAGCAUUGGCAAUCAAAUAUCAGAGGGUGAAUUACACACAAUCCCCUUGUAGUUUUGAAUAAUACCACAUUUCAAAAUAUCUACAUAACUCCCCUGUGGUUUCAAAAGCUAUACAUAACCUCCCAUAAUUUAAAUUAAAGUAUCAAAGUAACGGAAAUAGUCAUUCGUAACAAAACUUUUGAAAAUGUCAAAAUUACCCUUAUAAAUACAUGACACACUAACCCCGUAUGAUUUUUAUAUUUUACCAUAUAACCCCCUUAUAGUUUUCAAAAUAUAUACAUAAUUCUACUUGGUUAAUAAUUAAUUUUCAACUUUACAUAAGGGUAUUUUUGACAUUUUAGAUGACUCCAUUAUGAAUGAUUAUUUCCAUCAUUUUAACACUUUAAUCCAAACCAUAAAAGGGUUAUGUAUAGUUUUUGAAACUAUAAGGGAGUUAUGUAAAAGCACCAAAUCACAAGGGAUAAAUUGGAGUUUGCGUCUUCAAACCCAAAAUCCCAAAAUGAUGGCGUCUUCAAAAUUUCAGAAAUGGAUGGAGUGCUUGAUCUACUUCUUCAUUUGUGCAUAUAUGAUAUUUCUGUCCAUGGCGCCAGCCUAUUUAUGUCAAGUAAUUCCGUGCGGUGGCUGCUUGCGGUGCACAUGAGCGGUUAUCUGGAGAAGAUGACGUGAGAAAAGAUGAUCACAUCUGUGAUUUGGUAUUUUAUUACAUAACCCUUCUAUAGUUUAAAAAUUUAUAUAUAACCCCUUCAUAGUUUGGAUUAAAGUGUUACCAUCAUUUUUUUCCGUUAAAACUAACAGUCAAUAGCAAAAAUCAAAGUCAAACUAAUAAAUAGACAAAUUCACCUUUUCACUACAUUUUUUUCCUUUCUUUCUUUUUUUCUUCUCUUUUCUUUCUUUCUCUCUCUUUUUUUUUUUUGGAAGAGAAGAGAUGAUUUAAAAGCUGUACUUUGGCUUAUAAAAUAUUAAUUUCUCUUGGAUACAAAAAAAGGAAGAAAAAUGAAAAAUAAAUAAUUAAGAAAUAGAAAAGAUGGAAGGAAAGUGAAAAAAAUAAAUUAAUAAGAAACCAAAAAGAUGGAAGGGAAAUAUAAACAAAUAAAUAAGAAACAAAGAUACCAAAUCUUUAUUGACUGCAAAUAUCAUGAUAGGCUUUUAGACCAAAUCUUUUAUGGUAUUUUCUAUUUAUUAUUUAUCUAUUCUUUAUUUAAAUUACUUUUUUUUUGUAUUUGGAUGAAAAAAGGAAAAUAGUGAAAGAGUAAAUUUGUCAAUGUAUUAGUUUGAUUUUGAUUUUUUUUUUAACUAUUGAUAGUUAGUUUUGAUGGAGAAACUAUCGGUGACCCAUUAAGUCACACCAUGAGGCGGUUAUAUAUAGGUAUAUUAAGUCAAACCAUGAGGGCAAAAGGUAAUUUAUCCUAAUUAUUAUUUUGUUUGCUUAAAAUCUUUGAGAAUUUGGUCAAAGUCCAGAGGCCACAAAGUGAUCAUUUCCAUACAACUUGUCUGGCUGGUUGGUUCAGUAUGGAGGAAUAUGUGUACUGGAUGUCCACCUCAAUACUCAGACUCGGUCAUACAUCAUGUAAUUGGCCACGAAUUGGAUUCUUUUCUUUGCAUUUUAACUUGUGAAAGUUGUUCAAAUAUUCUCUCGGUCUUUAGGAAGUCUUCUACAGCAUCAAUGAUACUUGAAAGAAGGAAUUUAACAACUCAUAUCUUAGACCGUACUCUUCUAUUAGCCUCCUAUCCCAUUUAUAAUUAGUUUUCACACUCAAUAUGUCUUGGUUAUGUUUCAUGUGCAAGAUUUAAGUGGUGAAAAUUUGAGGAGUUUGUUUAACCAAAGUACAAUAUGCUUUUCCCAGGGAAGCUGCUUGGCUUUUUACUGCAAAAAAUUUCCCAGGUCAAUGCUGGGAUUCCAUUUUUUUUUUUUUGAAGUGGCUUGUUUGUGUUGUCAUCCCGCACUUGGUUUUGUGAAUUGUUCAAACUUCCAAGUUUCUUAAACACAAGUACCUCCCGGAAUAGAGAAAAUACCAAAUUGAGGCCGAUUCUACUUUGUGUAUUAUCAGCAAUCAGGUUUGGUUAGGCAGAGCCAAAGAAGAAGGAAGAUUUACAGCAACUAGUAGGCAUUGUUCUGAAGCCGCGGAUUAAAAUGCAUACACAGAGUCAUGCCAGUAAAGAGAGAGCAUUGGCAAUCAAAUAUCAGGGGGUAAAUUACACACAAUCCCCCUGUAGUUUUGAAUAAUACCACCUUUCAAAAUAGUCAUGCAAAGCAAUAAGACGUUCAAUUCCAUCUAUAUAUAUAUGGCUAUAAGUGAUGUCCUGAAUCAAAAAAUGAUGGAGGAAACUGGACUGCGACGUGGGUUGGUAAGAGAAUCAGAUGCGUGAUAAUUGUUGAUUUCUUGCAAAAUCUUGUACAUUUGGUUACUUGAAACAGGACACUAAUAAACAUCAAAUGAAAACGCGAAUCCAACAAACAAGGCUUGAUAAGCUGUGAUUAAAAAUGCCAUAUCAACUAGAGUUUACUGAUACGAAUUCAAUCAGGAAGUUGAUGUCAGUUUCAUUAAAUUAACAGAGAGUGAGCAUGAAAAUAACAUUUAGCUCAGUAUAACGGAAUUCAACACGAAUAGCCAAAUAUACAACUUUCAAGAAGGAUGCAAGUUAUCUAGCAGGGUUCAGCUAAUCCACAUCUUUCUGCUGCAAAAGACUGGCUACUUUGAAGUACAAGCAGCACGGAAGAUAUGGCAAAUUGUGUUCCAAAAGAAGUAAAAGAGCACCUCAUUAACAUGUCUACAA
Molecule: long non-coding RNA, 74978 nt
Filed under: Coffea arabica (coffee)
Lineage: Eukaryota; Viridiplantae; Streptophyta; Magnoliopsida; Gentianales; Rubiaceae
Description: long non-coding RNA (CARA_LNC000027)
Source: RNAcentral